AAAAGUACAACAAGAAGUAACAGAAAUAGCACAAGAAAGAUCCAUGAUUUUGGAAAAGGAUUUAGAGAAAAUGAAUUAUCUUAAAGCCAUCAUCAAGGAGACCUUACGUUUGCAUACACCAGUUCCACUACUUGUUCCUCGAGAAUCAACACAAGAUGUGAAAGUAAUGGGUUACGACAUUCCAGCUGGCACACAAGCGAUUGUGAAUGCUUGGGCGAUAGGAAGAGAUCCUACCUUAUGGGAAGAACCAGAGGAGUUUAGGCCUGAAAGGUUCUUCAACUCUUCCACAGAUUACAAAGGGCUUCACUUUGAGUUUCUUCCAUUUGGUGGUGGACGAAGAGGGUGCCCUGGGAUUCAAUUCGCUAUAGUCAUCAUUGAAUUAGCAUUAGCAAAUGUGAUAUACAAGUUCGAUUUGGCAUUACCAGAUGAAGUAAAAGGAAAGGAUUUGGACAUGAGUGAGAAGUAUGGCCUUGUAGUCCAUAAGAAAUCUCCUUUAAUUGUUGUGGCAACUUCCCUUUUUCUAGUAGUUGCCUGUAGUAUGUAACUUUCAAUGAUGAUAAUACUGAAUAUAUGUUUCAUGAUCGAUGUAAUAACCGAAGAGGUGUCUAGCUUUAAACACAAAUCCUUUUAAAUUUAAGAUAUGAUUGAUUUUCCAAAAUCAUACAUUAUUUUUUUUUUGGAACAUCCUAACAUGUUAUGAUUUAGAUGUUAAUUUAGUUUUACAAUUAAAUUGAUCAAACACAUACUAUGAGAGGAGAUUAUUCGUUGUUCUUAAUUUCUUUCUUGGACAAUCAUUAUUAUAUGCAUGAGGAACACAAAUCACGGUUUAUUGAUCCAAAGAACAUGACUAUAACUUAACACUAACAACUUCCAUGACCUUUAUAGCAAAUUGGUCAUAAUUGGUUGCCUAAAUAUGUCAUUAUACGAUUUAGAAAGGCACAAGAACAUUAAUAUAAUACGUAUAAAUACAUUUUUCAAAGCCGAUAAGUUUCAACAUUACACUUCCCAACUGGUCUCUGUACGCAACUCUCUAAGAAACAUGAGAACUUACUGUUCCUCAUCCUCACCAUGGGCUCGUAGAGCCCAUAGUGAAGAACCCGAACUCGAUGCAGAUGGCAUCGAGCCGGGUUGGGGCACAUGUGUUGGCCCGAAUAAGGUACUAAAAGGCCAAGGAAGAGACAAAUGCCUCAGAUUUCUCUCAUCCCUAUCUUCACUAUCACCCGACCUGUUUGCCUCUUGGUCGGGUCUUGUUUCAUUAGAAGGUAACUCAAACCUACAAACAGGACAUGAGCUAUGAAGCUCUAACCAUGGCAGAAUACAUUUGGUAUGAAACUUAUGUUUACACGGCAAUUCUUGGCUUCAUUUACAACUUCAAAAUCAUCCAAACAAAUCAACCAUUAAACCGAAUUUUCAUUGAUUUAUAUAGUUGGCAUUGCUUCCACUGCAUCGUUUUUGUGUGGGUCAGGUUCCGUGUCUAUUUAGGUCAAUUUUAGACAAAUGUUGUAGUAAUUCGUCUAAUAUGGGGCCCGAAAAAUAGUCACCUAAAGAACCAAUUGGAUGGAUCCCACCAUCGCUGCCUUGAACAACUAUUUUAUGAUUAAAAGGAUUAAUCAAAAUAACAUGUUCCCGAUCAUGAUCACGAUCACGUUCUUGUGAUGUAUUGUUUUCAGAUCUGGAUCGAACACCUUGGAGGAGGUGGAGGAUGGUGGCGGAGCUCCGACCCUGCCUCCUCACGAUAGACUCAAACUCACGGCCCAAAUCAGAGUCUCCACCCUCCUGGAAGUUGUAGCUUCGGUGGCAGCCUUCUUCCUCGUUAUCAUCAUCAAAGUUGACGUGGAAAAUAUCCGGCGACGGUGUGGGUUUUUCAUCAUGCUGAGAAAGACCGGAGGCCAUAAUGACUGACCACGAUCAGGAACAUCUUGAAGGUUGUAGUGGUGGUGGUUGCUUGUGACACUAUCCAUUUCCUCCAUGAAUUCACCAUGACAACUCGAACACUUGAUUGUUAGCACUUCUAUGAUCGAGACUACGAGCCUAUUACAUUUAUGACACGGGUAUCUUGUUGACUCUCUAUCUUCAUCCAUAUCUUACUUUCAGAAAUCAGAAUCAAGCUCUGUUAUCAAUCACACUCAAGAUCAGCAACCACGAAGUAGAAAAAAUUUGGGUUUGUUAAUUCAAACAUAUUAUUACAGAUCAAAGUAUAUAAAACCCUAGAGACCCUUGAUCUGAGAUUUACAAAGAUAGAAUUCUACUGGUAGUUAACAAGAAAAAUAGAUCUUCAAAACGUAAUUUAGCCAGAUCCAGGAAGUCAAAUUUCUUGGUAAAGAUUUGUAUAAUCUAUACAUGAAGAAUCUGAAAGCUUCUAAAUUUCAAUUCCUUUGUAAACCUAACCAACAUGGAUCGAAACUGACUCAGAUAAGAAAGAGAAAGAGAAACAAUUACCAAUAUCAGCAGACGAAAUCUGGUGUGUUGGAAAGAUGCAAUCAAAGACGUUUAUGUUGGAAAGCUGCAAUCAAAGACGUUGGUGGUGGGAAUCUGAAUGGGUAUGUCAGGUAGGUCAUAUGAAUUGUAGGAGUUGUCUGUUGUACUCACUCCUUUGCAUGAAACUAUCAAACUUCAAGUACCACUGUCUUGGAGCUUGCUUCAAUCUAUAUGGAAUUUUCUUCGGUUUGCACACCAUAUUUUCUUUACUAACUGUGGGAAAACCCUAUGGUGGUGUCAUGUAGAUGUCUCCUUCCUCUUUGUGAAAGGAACCUUCCUCUGUUUACCCAAAACACAUGGCUCAUGGAAAUCAAUUGUCACAGUCUACAGAUCUGGUAUUCUUCCUUUGGAGGCUAGCAUCUUCAUUCCCUUCUCACUCAUAUGUCUAAGUCUCUAGUGUCAUAGAAUUGAUAUCCCAACUUCUUCAAUAGCAUGUGCUUCAGCAUCAUAAACUUCAACCAUUAAAGUGUACCCUGCUUUUGACCUCUAGCAACAACUAAGUUUCCCUUUGUCACUUUCCACUAAUGAUCACCAAAUGUAACAUAGUGACCUUCAUCAUCAAGCUACCCUAAUAAUAUUAACAUUCUCUUCAAGACUUGAAUAAACAUGAUAUUCUUCAAAGUCCACUUUGUACCCCAAGUCGUCUUGAGGACCACAUCCCUAACUCCAGUAAUAUCUAGGAUCUUAUUGUCUGCUAAUAUGACUUUCCCUUUGUACUGCUUGAAAUUCUGCAUUACUUCUCUAGCAUGACAAGCAUGAAAAGACGCACCAGAAUCCAUGAUCUAGGAUUUCGUUGAUUUUUUUGACACAACAAAUGAGUGCAUCAUCUUCAGAAUCUACUGUCAUAUUCACUUCCUUCUUUCCUUUAUCUGCCAAAGGCUUUGGGCACUGAUUUUUGAAAUGACAUUUCUCUUUGCAGUUCCAACAGAUAAUAUAAUUUUUGUUCUUCGAUUGACCUCUCUUUCUUGACUUCGAUCUUCCUCUACCACUGCUUCCUCUACCAAACAUUGUUCUUUCAUUGAAAAUGUUGUAAGAAACAUUCUUUGCCAAGGACAACCAACCUUAAUACACUAAAACCCUAUGGAUCUAACAGAUCCCAUUACUCCUGUUCCAACACAUUUGGUUUCCUUUCGGAUAAUGGUAGAUGUAACUUCUUUUGGUAGAGAUCAUCUUUGAUUUGCAAUUUCUAGAAAACAAAAUCUUGACCAUCGAAUUUUUCGAUCUUAACUUUCUCAUAUUCAACCAUAGCUCUGAUACUAGUUUGUUGGGUAUUCAACAAAACAAGUUAAGCAACUUCAGACAAAACGAUAAAUGAUUUCGGUAACACUCACGGAAUAAAACUCCAAAAAAAAAACUAUAAACCAAAAAUGAACACAAUACUUAAAGUGGUUCGGUCUAAUCUGACCUAUGUCCACUGACGAACGAGAGAGAGAGAGAGAGAGAGAGAGAGAGAGAGAGAGAGAGAGAGAGAGAGAGAGAGAGAGAAAGGAUUUUUUAUAACCAAGAAAAUUACAAUGAUACAAGGCUACAUUACACUUGUAACCUGAUUACUCACUGUAAGUUACCACUCAUAUUUUUUUGCCUGCCAACCAAAAGGCUCUACACAAAAUAAACUACCAUACUUUCAAUUUUCUAUCUGGUGUUUUUUUUUCUCAUACUUAUUUGACAAAACAUCAAAAAAAGGCCCCUGUGGUUUUUCCGGAAAUCUGAAGUUUAGUCCCUAAUUUAUAAAAACCUCACAAAUGGUCCCCGUGGUUUAAAAACUUUUAACAAAUGGUCAUUUUCGCUAACUCCAUUAGCAUUUAACCGUUAAGUGAAGGGCGUUUCUAUCAUUUCACAACCACAUGGAUCAUUUAUGUAGUUUUUCCUUUUUUUAAAAAAUAUAGUUAUUUAAUAUUAAAGUGCCCCACUCUCUCUCUCUCUCUCUCUCUCUAUGUGUGUGUAUUUGUGUGAAGCGGUGGUGGGAAUUUCAUCUUCUUUCUUCGUCACCAUUUACACCUUCGACGAGUUUCUUGUUGGAGAAGAAGAACGUUGUCAUAAAAAAAUCAAACCCUACACUCAAAAAUGGGAACCAUCCUCCAUGGCCACCAUCGACGAACUAACUCUCACAACGAUGUUCUUUCUCAGAUCCCCGACUAUGAACCAAUCAAUUCCAGUCGAGAUAACCAAGUAUUUCUCUAAAUCCAUAGUCGGAUUAAAAACCCAUGAUGAACUCGCCAUCAAUUCUUGAUCAACAAAAAAACAAUAAAACAAUUCAAGAUUUUCGGAGUUCUUCGUCGUUUCCGGUGGUGUUCAUGAUAUGUGUCCAUUGUCCUUUUUAGCGGUUCCCGUUGGAGCUGAAACAAAUCUUCAAAACUAAAAAACCAUAAAACUGGUUUGGAUCUAAUGCCUUCGGCAGAUCUACAAGCUCCUUCGUUGAAGAUGAAAACCUCUUUGAAUUGGAUUUGGAUGUGUCUCCUUUGGUGAUUUCAUCGCCUUCACCUUCAUCUCCUUUGGGUGUCUGUACACGGUCUCACCCAGCCACCACCAAGUUUCAGCUCCACCAUGCCACAGUCAACAUCCUUUACCGAAAUCCCCUCAAUCGUGCCUCAAGUUCAUCCCAAAAUUCAUGUAACCGUUUUUCCCUCUUCCCAUUAUGUUUUAGUUCCCAAAUUUUCCUCCACUAUCGACGGGAUGAAAGGUUGGGAGUGUUUAUUUGAUGGCAAAGGUGAUGUCGGCGAGCUCUAAGAUGGUUAAGAACAUAUAGCUUCAUAUUUUUGCAGAUGGGGUCAUAAACUGGGUAUGGAUGAGAGAGAGAGAGAGAGAGAGGGGGUGGGGUCCUUUAAUAUUAAAUAAUUAUAUUUUUUUCUUUUUUUUUUAAAUAAGGCAAAACUUCAUCAAUGGUCCCUAUGGUUGUGAAAUGACAGAAAUGCUCUUCACCUAACGGCUAAAUGCUAACAGAGUUAGCAAAAAGGACCAUUUGUUAAACGUUUUGAAACUACAGGGACCAUCUAUGAGGUUUUUACAAAUUAAGGACCAAACUUCAGAUUUCCGAAAACCACAGGGACCAUUUUUGAAGUUUUGUCUACUUAUUUGUUGAAGCACUCAUAUUAUCUGCUAAAGUCAAAUAAAUGAUAAAGACAAAUUUCUAUAAAAAAGGACAUAAGUACGUACAACACUAAGGCUACCUGGUAUCGGAGCGUUUUCACGUGUCUUGGGCUGAGGUGGCAGCCUCCCCCACGUGUGAACACCGCCCCCAUGUCCGGUGGGUUGCGUGUGGCGUGAGGCGAAAGACAGACAAAGACGAGAUCGUUGAUUGGCCAUUCAAAGUUCGAACGUUAUGCGGACCGUUUGAGCAUUAAAAAAAAUUAUUUUUUAAAAUUCUCUAUAUAUACAUCCACUUUAUCAAUAAUUUCUACUAAACCACACCCACAUUUUUUCAAAAGAAACACACACAUUAAACCAAAAAAAUUGAUAAUUUUCCACCUCCGAUUUCUUCGUCUUUCGAUGAUAAUGAUUCUGAUGAAGAUGUGAAUUUGUAUACGCUGUUAUCCGCGACACGAGACGUGGUACGUGAGAGGGGCGAAAGUUCAAACGUCGAGAAGAAGCAUAGAAAAUGGAUCAACCGGGAUCGAGAGGUGGCACACGAACUUUUGGUACGUGAUUAUUUUGCCGUUGAUAGUUUAUAUGAUCUAUCAAAAUUCGAAGAACGUUUUCGUAUUAGUAGAAAUUUAUUUUUACAUAUAGCUAGAGAUUUGACACGUAAUUAUGAAUUUUUUCAAUUGCGAUGGGAUGCUAGAGGUGAACGUGGUUUUACUACGAUACAAAAAUGUACGGCCGCUCUUAGACAACUGGCAUACGACAUCGCCGCAGACGCAUCAGAUGAGUAUCUAAAAAGGACUGAAAGGACGGAUAGAGAGUGUACAUAUUUAUUUUGUGAGUAUGUCAUAGAGCUUUACCGUGCCAUAUACUUGCGACAUCCGACUAAAAGCGAUGUCGAACCGUUGUAUGUCGCGCAUCAAGCGAAAUAUGGUUUUCCAGGGAUGCUUGGAAGCAUUGAUUGUACACAUUGGGAGUGGGAAAAUUGUCCCAAUGCGUGGCUUGGCCAGUUCACGUGAGGUGAUCAUGGGGUGUCGACUGUUAUUUUGGAGGCGGUGGUUUCAAAUGACCUAUACUUUUGGCAUGCAUUCUUUGGUAUGGUCGGACUUGAAUGUGCUCUAAGCGUCUCCGAUGUUUAACAAUAUUUUACAGGAUAAAGCACCAGAAAUGCCAUAUGUUCUCAAUGGAAAUGAAUACAAAUAUGGGUAUUACCUAGGUGAUGGGAUAUAUCCAGAAUACGCUACAUUUGUCAAGUCAUACACAUUUCCGGCCGACGAUAAACGGAAAAUGUUCAAGUUAGCACAAAAAUCUACAAAGAAGGAUGUAGAACGGGCGUUUGGAGUCCUCAAACAAAAGUGACACAUAAUCAAACAUCCGACAUGAACAUGAGACAGAGAAAAAUUAAGGACGGUGUUGACGGCUUGUGUUAUUUUACAUAACAUGAUAAUAGAAGAAGAUGGUAGGGCUAUUUGCUCAUAUACCACAAACGAUAUACUUAACCCACUUGCAGUAACACAAGUUGACGGUCCGACAUACUUCUCGAGGGUUUUGGAAAUACAAAACCAUGAAACACAUCACAAUCUACGACAUGAUUUGAUCGAAUACAUAUGAGAAUGGCAAUUUCAAGGGCAAAAUGACAGUGAAGACGACGAUGAUGACGAUGGUGACGAUGAGGAGGAAGACAAUGGUGGCGACGUGGCGGGUGAUACCGGUGACGACAACGACGAUGAUUAGAAUUUUUCUAAGUUUUUUUAUGUUUUUUAAUUUUUAUUUUAUUUAGAAAAUGUAAUGUUUAAUUUUACUAAUUUUCGUUUUAAAUUUCUAUGUUUUAAUUAAUGAAAUGUGCUUUUAUUUUUUUAUGUUUUAAAAAAUUAAUGCAUAUUAUAAAUUAUGCUUUUUAAUUAAUAUAAUGUUCAAAAAAUUAAAAGAAUAAAAAAAAUAAUUUGUGGAGUGGUAACCAUUUCCAAUCUUUAGUGGGUUGGUGACCGCUACUCAUAGCCUAAAAGGCUACUGGCUAUUUGACUUUAAGACUUCAACCAUUCUUCAACUUCAUUAAACACGUUAACCUAGGUAAAGUGAAUUGAUUAUUAUGUCAAGUUACACUUUUGACCCUUGAACUUUGAGUGAUUUGUCUUUUAUGGUUCUACUAAACCUAACUUUAGGAGGUAAACUCAUACUUCAUUCCCUUAAAAAAAACUUAGAGUGACCUUUUAAAACAAAUGCGAUAAAGUCAUAUGGCUAAUAUGAUAUUUUCUCAUUUUUUUAACUAACUAAAUAAUAUUUAAUUUUAAUAUUUAACAUAUAAACUUAAAAUUAAAAUCCAAAUAUGACGAAAAUUACAUAAAUAAAAAUAAAACAUUCAAAAACAUACAUAAUUCAAACAUAAAAUUAAUAUUCAUCCUCGAUGACUUCGUUUUGGUAUAAUUGCUUCGUAAACUCUUGUCCAAAAAAAUUGGCACGUUUCAAUAGAUUGCAUUUUGAGAGCUCUUUCCAUGAGUUCGUCUUAUUCCAACACUUCUGGUUUUCUUUCGGAUAAUGGUAAAUGUAACUUCUUCUGGUAGAGAUAAUCUUUGAUUUCCAUUUUCCAAAAAACGAAAUCUUGACCAUUGAAUUUUUCGAUCUUAACUUUCUCAUCUUCAACCAUAGCUCUGAUACCGUUUUUUUGGACAUUCAACAAAACAAAUUAGUGACUUUAGGCAAAAUGAUAAAUGAUUUCGGUAACACUCACAAAAUAAAACUACAAAAAACUCCAAGCCAAAAAUGAACACAAUAUUUAAAGUGGUUCAGUCUAAUCUGACCUACAUCCACUCGCGCGCGUAUAUAUAUAUAGAGAGAGAGAGAGAGAGAGAGAGAGAUUUUCUUGUCACCAAGAAAAUUACAAUCAUACAAGACUAAAUUCACCUGAUCACUCACUGAAAGGUACCAAUCAUAUUUUUUUGCCUGCCAACCAAAAGGCUCUGCACAAAAUAAACUACCUUACUUUCAGUUUUCUAUUUGAUGUUUUUUCUCAUACUUAUUUGUUUGAAGCACUCAUAUUUGUAUAUAAGUUUUACCUGUCAAAGUCAAAUAAAUAAUAAAGAUAAAUUUCUAUCAAACAAAGGAUAUAAAUAGGAUACAAGACUAAAGUCUACUAGCUAUUUGAUUUUAAGACUUCAUUAAACAUCUUCAUCUAAUUCAAGUACAUUGAAUUGAUUAUUAUGUCAAGUUACACUUUCCACCCUUGAAAUUUGGGUGACUUGUCUUUCAUGGCUCUACUAAACCCAAUUUUAGCAGGUAAAUUCAUACUUCAUUCUCUUAAAUUAAAAAUAAAAAUAAAAAUACAAAAAAAAAACCUUAGAAUGACCCUUUAAAACAAAUGCGGUAAAUUUGUUAGGCUAAUAUGACAUUUUUUUCAUUUUUUUUAACUAACCAUAUAAUAUUUAAUUUUAAUAAUUUAACAUACAAACUAAAAUUAAAAUGCAAAUAAUAUGAAAAUUACAUAAAUAAAAAUAGAAUUUACCAAAAAAGAUAUAAUUCAAACAUAAAAUUACUAUUCGUCCUCAACGACGUCAUUUUGGUAUAAAUGCUCUGUAAAGUCUUGUACCAAAAUUUGGCACGUUUCAACAGAUUGUACUUUGAGAUCUCUUGCCAUGUAUUCAUCAUCUGUACAUGGAAAUGAAUUAUUGCGGACGAUUAAUUAACCGCAUAAGCCUUAAAUCAUAUGUGCAAAUAGCACGUCCUACUGGCUCAACCGCCAUACUAUGUAAUAUCUUAAAAGUGUAUAUUAUGUUGUGUAUCUUAUCGUCAUCCUAUAGUCGUGUAGUGUUUCUAUACAUGUCAUUUCUUCUUAAUUAAUGCACCAAACUCCCACCUUAAAUAUGUCCUUCAUAGAAGAUUCUUUCCUUUUUGUGAUUUUUUUAAUCUCGUACUAACCGAUACUCAUUCACAAGAGUAGCGUAAUUAGGGUAUAUCAUAUCAAAAAGGUAGUAGCCAUAUUUGUAUUCUCUUCCAUUCACUAUCACAAACAUAGUAGGUUCUUACCCGAUCAGAAUAUCGUUGAAAAUCGGGGAAUUACUAAGAACGUUUAUCUCAUUGUUGGACACUACUACCCCUAUCAACUCAUGUCAAAUCCACAAUCAUUAGACGCAUCAACUUCUAGUAUCAAAGAUGGUGCACCUAUAUCACCUUGGGUAAAUUUACUUCGCCAUAUAUUUAGACAAUUUCCUACUCCCGAAGCAUACAGUCAAGUAGGGAUGAGCAAAGGAACCGAACCUGCUUUUAACGACCAUAAAAAUUCAAGCCAAUUUAAACUUUUCAAAACAACCCAAUUUCAUUAAGUUAUUACAAAAAGGUUUUCAAUACAUUUAACAUCGGAGUAUCCCCAGAACCAUAUCAUAAAACAAGAACAUGAGGAGCGGUACGAUCACGCAUUUGCCUUGCCAUGAUCUCCUGAAGUACCUGAAACAUUUUAAACCACAACUUUAAGCCCGAAAGCGUAGUGAGAUUCCCCCAAAAUACCAACCACAUAUACCAUACACGUAACAUGCCAUAUCGCAACAGAACACAAAAUACCCAUGCACUUCGGGUCUAUUGUGUGACUGGUCCGCCGCACCGGGCCUACAGUCCACCUGGUCCACCCUCCGAGUCUAACCAUAUACCUCGAGUCUAUAGUGUGAUUGGUCCGCCCGCACCGGGCCUUUAAUCCACCUGGCCCACUCUCUGAGUCUAUAGUAUGACUGGUCCGCCCGCACCGGGCCUUCAGUCGGCCUGGUUCCCUCUCCGAGCCUCGGUACGUCUGGUCCGCCCUCUUGGGGCCUACAACCUAUUCGGACUGCUUGCUAGGCCUUCGGGAUAACCGGUCCGCCCUGGGUAUGUUGGCUUAUAGCACGAAGCAGGACCCGCCUCAACCCAACCCCAGUCAAACAACCAUGUGCACAUAAACAUAAUAAUCAUAUAACAAUUCACAACAAACCAACCAAUCUAGCAGAUCACAUACGUAGCACAUCCCUACCAGGAUUCCGAACUAGUCGGUCACUAGCAUAGCAUCAUCCUAUAAACCAGGAUACCGACCCUAACCAGGUCUCUAACAUAUACCAUCCUAACUACCAGGAUGCAAACAUAACAAAGCAAUAACAUAACCAACAACUACUCGGAUUUCCAUCUGAUAAAGGUCGGCCUUUGUGCCGUAGACCCUGUCGAUAUAGUGAGGAUAACUCACCUCGCAACUGCCGAAACUCUGAACUGAAGAUGCAGAUUCCCGAAUCACAGCCUCACCAAAAAUCCCGAACUAUCCGAAGCAGCAAAACAAUCAUUAGUCCAAGCACAAUAUCCUUCCAAGGGUAAAUUGACCAGUUCACCCUUAACUCAAUCUGGUCCACGACUAAGGCCCAUAAUAAAAAUAUGAAAGGCUCAACACUAGGUAAGCUCUCAAGCCCACUAGUGGCCCAAAGACCAAAAGUCCGAAGCAAAACCCAAUAUUGGCCCAAUUUACUAAAUUGGGCCCACCUCACCAAAUGGGCCUAGAUCCAAGGUCCAUAAUAAUUAGUGAGUCCAAAAUACUCCAUCCAUAAUGUCCAGUUACGGCCCAAGCUCUAAUAGUCCAAUAACAGCCAAAUCUCUUAAGGCCCAAAAUGAAAACCCAACAGAGGGAGUAUGCUGGGCGUACUCUCCUUGGUACACUGGGCAUACAACGAUGCUCACGAAUUGGGAUCGGGGCACAAACCCACUACGCUGGGCGUACUUCCCAUUUACGCGGGGCGUAACUCCGCUGAACUACAACUUCUCAUAAGAUCUUAAUGGCUUAAGCUCUUAAGCCCAAACUUCAGAUCCAUAGACCAAAUAUGCCUAGGAUUCAUAAAGUCUCAAACUUUAUUACUUGGGACGUCCAUAAAGCUCUUAAUCCAAGGUAUUAAUCCAUUAAGACCUAUCUAUAUCACAUAUGAGACAACCAAAGCCCUUGGGACCUCAUUUUUCUUACUCAAGACCUCUCCUAAGGUCUAAAAGGACAGCUAAUCUCAACCAACUCGAAUCAUGCAUCAAGAUGAGGUUUUUGGGACAAGAAUGAUGUCAAAACUUCCCAACACAUAGAUCUACACAUUAUGAUUGCCAAGCCAGAGACUUUUUUACCUCAAAAGGGCCUCAGAAGAUGAUGUCUUUCCAGAUCUACAAGCUCCAGCCAUUCAACUCCUUCUUUGACAACUUCCUCUUUCUUCUUCUAGACUCUCCUUUGCCAAACAAGCUUUCCAAGGUCAAACACACCCAACAAUGGAGGUAGAACGGCUAUCCAGGGCUUUUGAGGAUGAGAGAGUGUUUAUGGAGGCUAGUGUUGGAACUAUUAUGUUCCUUAUAUAGUGGCUGGCCCAAAAUUUAGGGUUUCUGAAUGAUAGGCGUACGCUGGGCGUACAUCCAGUACGUUGGGCGUACGUCAAAAGACCCCCUCGUUCCUUUCCUUCGUUACGAUGGGCGUACCCAGCCAAACACAUGCAUGCAUGCUUGGCAUGUAUGGGACCCCUUUGCUAAACUUCCCCCUUAGGGACCAUUGCUGCCAAUAUCUUUAAUUUACAACAUUUCCUCCAUCAUAAGUCCGUUCUUGUCAACUCUAUAUCCACAUUAAGGACCGAAACGCCCUUACUCUUGAUCUCGGGAACCCAUAAAUAGAUAAAUCAAGAACGGGGUGUUACAAUUCUCCCCCACUUAAAUUAGGCUUCGUCCUCGAAGCCUACUGCAACAUACACUUCAGAACAUCCCCUGCACUACAGACUCCGAUUACUCAAUCAACUCAGGUUCUUGCAAUCUUACCACUGCAUCUUCUCUAUCAUGGUCCCCAGGUCCUUGGCCUCUGAUUGAAAUCUUUUAUAUCGACCUCAGCACCGGUCCAAACUACUCCCGAGUUUGUUAACCUGCUGUCUUACCUUCCUUUGUUCCAAAUCUCCAAUCUGGAGCCACUAACCUCCUCCUUUUCCAAGGAGACUGAAAAUAUGACUGUUCAUCACUCAAAAUUGCCACUACCUCAACGAGCAGCCAACCCGUAGGUGCUUCCGUAUAUCUGGUACAAUCCAGCACCUCCUACUAAUGUUUGGGGCACGACGGUCAUCCAUUUACUCCAUUCCCUCCCUUAACGGAGGACCCACACUCCUUCCGGAGCUACAUACCUUUUUCUUUACAGGAAAUCCACUCAACAACCCUCACAUGCCUGCGCGUGCCACUGAGCUAAACUCCACUCUACACUAUCCAUGUAGAGUAACUGCUAUCCUCGGACUUCUCCUACUCUGAUUCUACUCGCAAGGACUCUCGGGUCCAUGCACUUCCUUCCACUAACAUGAUCAAUACUUGGGGCCAGACCAUAUCAAUUACCAUAUCCUGGCGACAUAUGCUCUCAUUCUCCUCAAAUUGUUCCACUAACACAUACAGAGUCUUCAGCAUGACUGGACCGCCUUACCAGGCCUUCAGCCUAUCUGGACCACUCUCAGAACCUUCAGCAUGUCUGGACCGCCCUCCGGGCCUUCAACUUGUCUGGACCAUUCCCCGAGCCUUCGGCCUGACUGGCAUGCCUUCCGACCUUUAGUCUUCCCGGACCGCUCAAACUAUCAUACAUCAUUCCAACUAUCCUUCCAGAGAAUCUUUCCCGUACAUACUGUUCUAGCCCCCUAGGGGUUCCGAACUCUCGUUCCGAUCCUGGAAUCCUUUUCAUGGCCUAAACCCAGGCCUCACCUCAACCACUAUCUUUCAUGAACCCAUGGUCUACUCCCUGCCCCAUUGGUAUGUCACUUACUCACACCAGCCCACACUCUUGGCUCUUGGCUGACUAAAACACUGUCGAAUCUCAACGGCUAAUAAACCUCAAUACUUGCCGAUCCUCCUGAGAAUUUUCCAAUUCUCCCCACUUAGAGCACUGACUACCAACCACUGGUGACCUGACUGGCAUCCCUUAAACGUUCUUACUCAACAAUUCUAUUUUACUUGAACUAAAUCAAAACGAGCAACCUCCACAAAAUCUCUUUCCCGGCAUCACACAUCUCGAUCUCUAAGGGAGUUCAACUCUUCGCUGAAUACUUCUCAAAUCGCAAUUGAUAUACCCGACAACAAGACCAUACAACCAAAUUCUGACCAACAAUCCCUUGAAUACUAACCGAUUUCGACCCCCAAGUACCGAUUCCUCAAUAAUACAAUAAACCCGAAAAAAAAUCGAACGAAUGCAAUACCAUGAGUCAUGCGAACAAGACAAGCAUAUAUAAUACUUCAUAACAACCAUAAGAUAACAAGAUAUCAAGAAGGAAACAUACCCGCAGCUGAAUCCGGAUCUACCCUGACCUCCUCUGCUAUAAGUUGAAAAGCACGACCCUGAGCCCUCGGGGGCUCUGCUCCACCCUGACCUCCACCCGUAAUCCUCAAAGUGGCCGGUGCUGGAGCCUGCACCGGUCCUGCAGCAAGCUGCGGACAGUUGGCCCUCAAGUGACCAACCUGAUGACACUGAUAACAAAUCCCUAUAUCCUGAACCGGGGCUGACUUAUGACAAUCCCUCGCAUAGUGCCCCUCUCUCCCGCAUUUGCGGCACACACCAUCGGACCUACAAACUCCGGUGUGACCCUUCCCGCACUUCCCACAAGUGUGGCUGCCCUAAUCUCCCAACCUAGAAUCAACGGUCUUGGACCGUUUCGGUGCUGGCUGCGACUGCACCAGGGCCUGCCUCUGCUCUCUCAACUGCAACUCAAUCUCCAACUCAUGCCGCCUGGCGGCCUACUGCAACUCCAACAAGGUCUCGCACCGCUGCAUAGACACAAACUGCCUGAUAUCCCUCUUGAGCAUACUUAGAUAUCAGGACGUCUGAGCCUGAUCCGAAGCAAACUCCGGGAAAAGCAUCACCCUCUCAGUGAACAUCCUGGUGAUCUCCGUCACCGACUCUGAAUCCUGCUUUAGUUCCAAGAACUCCUGAGCCAACCUCUCUCUUUCUCUCAACCCGUGGAACAUAACGAGUACUGAACAUCUCCCGGAAUUGGUCCCACGAAACUGCAACGCUCCAUGCAUCCGAAUAUGACCCCGUAGUCAACCUCCACCAAUCCUUCGCCCCAAGCCUCAAUAGUUUUAGAGCACAUCUCACCCUCUGAUAAGUAGGGCAUGAACAUGUGAAGAAACAUCCCUCCACAUCUGACAACCAUCGCAUAGCAACAAUCGGAUCCUGAACCCCAUCGAAGGUAGGGGUCUUUGUAUUAUCGAAGUCCCGAUACUGAAAACCUCUACCGGCUCCUCCCCCUGCCGCUGCUACNNNNNNNNNNNNNNNNNNNNNNNNNNNNNNNNNNNNNNUGUUGGAUUAAUGUCUAAGUCCAUAACUAUAAUUGGUAAGACUUGACCCGACUCGGCAUGGUCCAUUUGGGUUGCAUGGCAUCAUGCAUUUGGAUAGACUAUAAUGAGAGAAAUAAAACUUAAGGUUUGUUAAUAUAUUAUAAGUUCUAAUAUAUUAAUAAGGUUAUUUAAUUAGUAUUGAUCAAGAAUUAAUUUGGAAUUAAUUAAGUGAUCAAAAGGAGACUAAUUAAAUAUAUGGGUUGAUUGUGUAAAUCAUUCAUUCUUAUAUAUGUGGGCUUGUGAUCCAAGAUUCCUUAUGUUGAACUAAGUCCAUGGGGUGACCCAUGGAUACUCCAUGGAGGUUAAAAUCUAUGGAGCAUAAGGAAUGGGUAAAGUUAUGAGUUACAUGGUGUAACCCUAAUAUCCACCAUAUAAAAGAAUCCCAUGGCUCAAGAAAUUGUGCACUAUGUGUGUGUGUGUGAGGGCUAAACGAUUUCACGGAGUGUUCAAGUUUCUCUCAAGUUAUUGCAAGUGUAUUUGGUGUUGUGUGAACCAUUUGAGGUGUCACACUUGAGGCACUAGGCACUCAAGCUUCAUGAAGACUUUCUACAUGAAAGAGGUAUGUAUUCUAUCUUGUUAUAUUCAUUGUUUUGUAUGCUAGAUUAGGAUAAUACCUUGGAUGUUCAUAUUUGUAUGUAUAAUAGAGAAAACAUAGAUCCAAGGUAUUUAGGGUUGCAUGUACACUUAGGAGUGUUAGAAUGCUCAAAACCCAACAGUGGUAUCAGAGCCUCGGGUUGUUUUCUUGUUAUACUUGCAAAUGGAGCUGAAAAAUCGAGUUGUGAUGCUGUCAGCCCAGCAGACUCGCCGAGUCCAUGAAGGGACUCGACGAGUCCAAGGCAAAAUUCAUCCAACUCGCCGAGUUAUGUUCAUGCACUCGACGAGUUGGACCCCAGACAGCAUAUUUUCGAGGUUUUUGGCUAGAAAUGGACUAGGAACAUUACCCUACGUUGUUUUUGAACUUAUAAACUUGUUUUUGAAGUGGUAAUGUUCAUGCUAAUCCAUUUUCAAAGAUAAUUGUCAAUAGAUUCAUGUUUUGUAUUAGUUUAAGGUUUAGACUAAUUACAUGAAAAAGUUUGAUUUGAAUUAUCUUGUUCUUAUGAGUUGCUUAGAUUAAUAGAAAAGUUAAUUGAAAUAGUUGUUUUCAAUCCAUUUUAAUCUAAGAGUUGAGUACAAAAUGUGUUUGUGUAACUUGUCCUCAAGUUACAUGAAGAGUCACAUUAAAGACUCAUAAAACUCAUAAAAGUUGGUAAUGGUUACAAAAUGAAGAGUCUUGUGUCAUUGAAUUUUUUUUUAUGACUCCAUAACUUGUCCUCAAGUUAUGGAAGUUCAAGAGUCACUUCAUUAAAGAAAAAUAUGUAACCAUAAUUAAAUCCAUAAGUUAUAAAAUAAAGAAAAAGUUAGUUCUUUUAUUAGUUUAAAGUCUUCCAUAACUUGUCCUCAAGUUAUGGAACUUGAAGAGUUUUUGGAUUAAAACUACUUUAAACACAUAAGUUAUGGAAUUAAUUAGUUUUGAAUAGUUUCAAAACUUGCCCUCAAGUUUUGGAAUUUGAAAAGUUUUCACUUAUGAAUACUUUAAUUCCAAGUUAGCCCUUAGAAUUUUAAAAAUUAAAAUUCAACCCUUAUACUUUAUAAUAUUAUAAGUUAAUAAUAUAUAUAUGUAUAAGAGUAAAGUCAGUCUUACCGCUAGUACGCCUCAUUCACGAAGCCGGUCUAUAAGGUGGGUAUAAGGUUGUUGCCUAUAAAAUGGCAACUUAAUGGGUGUCCACUCUCACCCACCGCUUGCUUGACUGGUGGAGGGUCGUUAGCCGAACGGGUUUGACAGGACUAGAAUUCUCCCUUCAUUAAAAGUAUUAAUGAUAAUACUAAGUAACUAAACUCUUAAUAAUACCCAAUCUUAGUUACUUAGGAAAAAUGUGAAUAAGGUGCUAAUCCAUGAAAUUACACUUUGCACUUUGUUUAAGUCGUUAGUGGAGCGUGUGUGGUUAACCGGCACACUAACUUGGACUUAACAAGGUAGGUAAAGGGUGACUUAAUAUUUAUCAUAGUAUCGAUGGAGCGUGUGUGGUUAACCGGCACAUCGAUUGAGGGGUAAUUUAUUAAGGGUACCAAGUGAUUUGCAUGGUUACUUCACACCUUGUUUUGUGAUCCUCGGCAUCCCAGUCACAAAACCUGAAGGGCACACUCGAGAUUGAAACAUGCCUUUGAAAAGUUCAAUGAAUCUCAAAGAUCUAGGAGUUUCAAAACCAAUUAAAACCUAAUAAUACAUUUCGUUUAUCUUGGUGGAAAUUGGUGAAUCGUCAUUCACCUACCUUCAAAUAUUUUAUAGCUUGGAUUACGGCAUACCUCUUCUAAGUUAUAAAAUAGUUUGUUGGGUCCUAGCCUUAAUAUUUCAUAUUGGGUGUCAUAUUAAGGACUUUAAAUCAACUAUCUUGAAUAUCUCCCAAAAGAUGUCUGGUUUAGACACCUAUGAUCUUCCCAAAUCUCUUGAAACAAGGUUUCCUAAUGAAGAUGAUGUCCCAUGGAUAUCAUACUUCUUCACCUCUUCAAAUUAUUCUCCCUAACCCACAAGUUCUUGAAAAGUUUAAGGUCACUCAGGCCCUAUUGGCAAGGCAAGGUCUAGGUGUGGUCACAUCUUGGAGAUGUAGUCACAUAUUGACAAGCCGGGAGAGUUGGGUGUCAAAGUCUUGAGAAAGUUGGUGGUUCAACUACUUUCUAAGUCACAUAGUGAGUUCUUUUGGAACACCUAUGAAAAAGACUAUGACAAGACCCUUAAUGAUCUUAUCUAUUUGUUAAGAUCAACUUCCUAAAACUUUAUGGACAUUGACAAUGAUGACAUUGGAUAUCCAGUAAAGCAUUCUCUUCCCAAUGGAAAGGGAUCGGCUAUAGUCAACUCGGUUGACCAAAUGGUAAAGAGAAAAGCUAAGUCUGUGAUAGUCCUGUGUACCAUUAUCAAAGGGUCCAUAUGUUUGUAUUGCCAAAGAAAGGGCAUUGGUUGCGAAGCUGCCAAAUUUACCUAAGGAUGUUAAAGUCAAUAAGUUUGACUCUACUUCAGGUAAAAUCCACUAUCUAACUCUGUUAAGUUUCUAUUCUGAGAUUCUUGAUACAUGAUGUGACUGGGUCGCAUGGUGAUGGUUUAAGAAUCAAAGGAAAGUGAAGAAACUUAAAGGAAGAAUAUGCUGAAUCUGAUCGCAUAGAUGGAUUUCUAUCGCAUAGUUUGAAAAAUCGGAUUCUUGAGCUACUUCUUAGGAGUUAUGAGAUAUUGCUUAGGAAUAGAUAACAACAAGUUUUCAUAUGGAUUGUAAGGAUAGUUUUUCCGCAAAGUUUUAAAAUAAAAGGAAAUUUUUGAUUUUAUUUAUUUUAAAAUAUCCUUACAAUGGCAUCUGUGGAAAUUUUUGUUGCUUAUAAGAUUCCAUUAGUAGCAAGAGUGGAAGUAUGAAAUUGAUUCUUUCAUUUGUGGUAAUGUCUAAAUUUACCAAAUAAGGAAAGAUUCUCAUCACCCAAGUUUCAAUUGGACCGGAACUUGGAAUCAUGCAAGUUGUAUAGCAUGAUGAAUGAGAACUUUCAAGUUUUGGAAAAUUAAGACUAAUUACUUGUUCACAUGGAUGUGUGAGUCAAGUAAAGGACUUAGGGAUCGAGUACACAUUCUUGUGCACUGAUUAAGUCCACCACUAAAGAUCGAUAAGAAGAAUCAAAUAAGGCAGAAGGAUAAAAGUUUCUCAAAUCUGAAAAGAUGGGAGAGUACUUUAGUAUCAGUUUUGUGAUCAUCUUAAUGAUUAAGAAACCAUAUCAAAAUUAGUUCUCUAAGGAAAUCUUAGUGCAUUCUUAUGACUAAGAAGAGGAACUUGAAUUGUUGAAAUGGUUAAAUCAAGAAGAUGAGUCAUACUUCGUUCCAAUACAAGUCUUAGAGUCAUACUCCAAGAUUGUCAUUUGAGUGACAUGUCUUAAAGAAGGUUUAAAACACUUGUCAAAUGUAAGAGUAAAAGUUUUCUACUCUUGUACAUUUGAAAUUGGUAAGUUGUGAUGUUUUGGAUAAAACAAAGACCAACUUAGGCCAAUUGGGUAAAGUGUUUUUCUUGAUUAGAAUCCGCACUAUCUCUUGGAUGUUUGACAAGGGAGUCUUAUAUGUCAAGAGGACAGUGGGAGUCUUAAAGGUCUUGAAAGUCUCAAGAAAUAAUCAAGAAUAAAACCUAAAGUUCUUCACUAGCACACGACUUGAGGUUCAUAACCUAUCGUGUUGACAUAUUCUGUGCCCAUUCCAGUUAAAGUUGGUUUUGCAUAUGAGUUCUUAGAGUUCUCAAUUUGUUGCACAACAACUUGGAAGCAAUGGCAGGCCCUUGAGCUGCCAGGUGGCAAGAAGUUAAGAUUGAGUUCAAUCCAUAUGGUUUUGGAUUUGUCAUUAUCUUUGUCUUGUGAUUAUGGUUUGACAAAUUCAUAUGGGUAGGAACUCAUACACCAUAUAAAUCUAAGUGUCAUAAGGUUUCUCUCCGAUUCAUGAAAAUGAUGGUGAGGAAACGCUUUCACUAAGUAGAUUUUACGAAGAUAUCAAUUGUGUUAUUUGCAUUUUCAAAAGUCGUUAGUGGAGCGCGUGUGGUUAACCGGCACACUAACAUGGACUUGUGAGAAAUGGCAAAUGCCUAAGCAAUUGAGACCAUGAUUACGGUAUCCCUUUUCAUGGUUCUUGAAAUUGCUUAGACACACAGGUGAGCUAUCUACGGAAAGGGUGUAUGAAUCUAAAUUUCAGACUGUCCAGCUGAUUUCUGAGUACAUGUCAAAGCUAGUGGGAGCAUAAGUGUUAUGCUAAUAAUCAUCAUGUUAGUGGGAGCAUGAUAAUUAUGAUAAGUAUUGCAAGUUAGCAAUGUUAAUUAUAGAAAACAAAAGUUUCAAUUGGGAAAAAGUUGUUUUGCUAUAAUUAAGGGAGAGGAAAUUAUGCUUCAUCUCAAAUCUAUAAGCUUAGAUCGUGAGGUUUUAAUCAUUUAGUCAAGGAUAUAUAUGAAUUUCAUGUUGGAAUGGCUCAACAUAAGGAAAUUCUGUAUAUGGGUCCAUUAUUUGCGUUCUAAAAUUCGAUUAUGAUUACGGCAUCCCUUUUCAUAAUCUGAAUUAUGAGAACUUGGCAAAUUGAAAUGGAAAUAUUAUAGCAAAAGACUGGUUUAGUCUUUAUGUAAGACAUCAUGAAUCGUGUCCCAUAUGCUUCGGAUAUAGGAUCGAUUACAUGUGCUAUAUUCAUCCGUUCUAAAAUUUUCCAAAUGCCUGGGGCAUUAAGAAGGGAAAAGGUUUAGAACUGGAUAUGACUAAAAGGAUUAAACAAUUGUCGAGGACAAUCUAAGGUUUACCAAAGAUUGGUUACUCAAGGACAAUUGGAAGUAUAGUGAUAAUUCUGGAAGGACCAUAUUGACAUAAUCUGUAAGGAGGCAACUCUUGUUCAGAAGUGAUAGUCAAAAUGGAAUCUGGAAAUGUUUCAAAGUUAGAAUUUUCAAUCUGUGUAAGAUUAAGGAAACUUAAUGCAAGAAGGAUAUUUCCAAGGAGUUGAUCUCCUUUGGAAUACUCUGUAAUGAUUGUUGCCAAGUCUUUGUGACUUUGUGCAUAAUCAUUACAAGAGGAUCAAUGCAUAUAAGUUUAGAAUCUAACAGAUUUCAGUAAAUGGCAUGAAUUUGGAAUUCUUGCAUUUGCAGUAAGGAUUUGGGAGUGUGAAAAGAGAAUCAUUGAAGUUAUGUUCAAUUGAUCUAGUUCACAAAGUAAAGAUCAUAGACAAACAUAGUAUGCAUACUUGGUGUGUGGCAUGACUAGUGUUUAAGAAAACAUAGUGUACAUGCUUGGAGCAUGGGACAACUAUUGUUUUAAAUUCAAGAAUAAAGUUGAUAGCUGAAACAGUAUACAAUGAAUAAUGUGUAAUCAUAUGGUGAUAAAUAAAAGGUGUUUUAUUUAUGUUCAAAGGGUUGAUACCAUAUUGGAUUCAAUUAUUAUUGUGUUUCAUUUUGCAUGUUUUGACUUCCCGAAUAAACUGGGUUAUUCUUCCGGAAUGACUAAGUUAUUCAAACCAUCCACAGUCGGUCAUAUGUUGGAAGUAGAUAUGAAUUAAGACUGUCAUGGGUUGGCUUGUAGAGGUCUAAGGUGUUGGACAAAGGGCUACAACACUCAUGAGUGCUCAUAAGUUCUGAGUAUUGGAUUCAACCCGCGCUCAUUGGAAUCACUUCAUGGAUUUUAUCACGAGUGAUCAUGAGACGAUAAUAUCUUAUAUUCUUCAAACCUAGAGAUAUGAGUUGUUACUAUGAGUUGAUAGUACAUUGAUUGCACGAAAACGCAUUUGGUAACUCGGUGCUAUAAAACGUGCCUUUGUGUAUGAUUCAACAAGUAGUAGAACAAGCCAUAUGAGUCGAAGUUUAUCCAUUCCUUUUACCUUCGGGAUAAAAGCGAUAUCUGUGGGCCCCUCGAUGAUUUGAUGAUGACAAAUGGAAGUGCUCGGCCGGGCCAGGACUGAUUUGAUUUGUUCAAUUAGUCAGUCGUCAUAAAUCGGAAAUCGGGAAACAACAAAUGGACAGAGAGAAUGAUUAUAAUCCAUGUCUCAGUCCAUAUGAUAUCUAGAAUGGAGGAAUAUAUGAUCCCUUAUCUAAUGGACAAGUCAUUGACAAAGGUCAGAGUUCAUCUACAAGGUCAGAGUUCGACAGAAGCUUUUGAGAGCUACGAUUGCCAGUUGGUUCCUGAAGUCAUACGCAAUAAUAGUUUUAGACUUAUCCAAGUGGGAGACUGUUGGAUUAAUGUCUAAGUCCAUAACUAUAAUUGGUAAGACUUGACCCGACCCGGCAUGGUCCAUUUGGGUUGCAUACCAUCAUGCACUUGGAUAGACUAUAAUGAGAGAAAUAAGACACUUAUGGUUAUUAAUAUAUUAUAAGUUCUAGUAUAUUAAUAAUAAGAAUAAUAAGAUUAUUUAAUUAGUAUUGAUCAAGAAUUAAUCUAGGAUUAAUUAAGUGAUCAAAAGAAGACUAAUUAAAUAUAUGGGUUGAUUGUGUAAAUCAUCCAUACUUGUAUAGUGGGCUAAUGCUCCAUGGAUAAUCAAGUUGGGCUAAAACCCAUAGGAUGGUCCAUGGAUGCUCCAUGGUGUAUUUGUACCCAUGGAUCCAAGGAAAUGGAAAGCCAUGACAAUUAAGAGUUUACCCUAAUUGUGUAACUAUAUAAGCAUCUUAUUAUUGAGGAAAAAUCGGCCACUAGUGAUAGUGAAGAAAGGGCUAGCCGAUUUUGAAGAGUGUAGAAUUCUCUCAAGUCAUUCCAAGUGUUUUGAUGAUUGUGAUUCCAUUUGAGGUGUCACACUUGGGGCACUAGGCACUCAAGCUUCAUGAAGACUUUCUACAUCAAAGAGGUAUGUAUUCUAUCUUGUUAUAUUCAUUGUUUUGUAUGCUAGAUUAGGAUAAUACCUUGGAUGUUCAUAUUUGUAUGUAUAAUAGAGAAAACAUAGAUCCAAGGUAUUUAGGGUUGCAUGUACACUUAGGAGUGUUAGAAUGCUCAAAACCCAACAGUGGUAUCAGAGCCACGGGUUGUUUUCUGUUAUAUUGAUGCAAAUAUUUUAUUUUCAAAGUAGAAAAAAAAAACAUGAAGUUUGUCAAAUUUUAAGAUAAUUACUUGUUCUUGUGAAAAACUAAUUAUUUGUAAAAUUUGAAUAAUUUGCUUUAUGAGUUGAAUUAGGUCAAAUUUAAUAAAAGAUAAAACGAUAUGAUUAUUUUAUGAGUUUUAAAAGUUUGAUCUAAAGAGUUUUAUUUUUUACAACCUCCAUAAGUUAUGGAUAUGAAAAGGUUUUAAAAAAAAUGAUUCAAAGUUUUUAUGGAGUUACAAAAUUUGGUGUUAAUGUUUUAAAGGAUUCCAUUACUUAAGAAUAAGUUAUGGAUCACCAAAAGUUUUUUGUUACCUUGUUUUAUGAAUGAAUUUAGAUUAAUGAAUAAAAUUAUGUGAUAGUUGGUUUUAAUCCAAAUUAAUCUAAAAGAAGUGCAUAAAAUGUGUUUAUGUAACUUAUAAGUCACAUUUAUGAAUCUUAAAACUCAUAUAAGUUGUCAUAGGUUACAAAAUCAAGAGUCUUUUUCCUCAUUAAAUUGUUUUAUGACUCCAUAAUUUUUCCUCAAGUUAUGGAUGUUCAAGAGCACUUCAUUAAAGUUUUUAACACUUUAAUUAAACUCAUAAGUUAUGAGAGUCGAAUAAACCCCUUCCCCAGCAGCUCCUGCAGCUACGAGAAUAACUCCUACAUCUCUGGUGGCGUAAGGCGAUAGGGCGCCUUGGCAAUAGGAGCUGCCCCCGGAACCAAAUAAAUACGAAACUCUACCUGCCUCUCGGGAGGCACACCCGACAACUCCUCGGGAAAAACAUCCGGGAACUCACGCACUAUCGGGACCUCAUCGACCGACCUCGGUCUCUCUGCAUCUACUCUCGUAUCCACCACAUAAGCCACAAACCCACUACAGCCCCGCUGUAGACUCUGCCUCGCCCUAGCGGCCGAACAAAAUGCUGACCCAGAAUGGGUACCCUCACCAUACAACGCAAGUACUCCCCUACUGGGGUCUCGUAUCGUCACCAACUGUCACUCGCAGUCUAUCACAGCCCCAAAUCGGCUCAGCCAAUCCAUUCCCAUUAUAACACACAUGUUCCCCAUCGAAAUCGGGACCAGAUCAAUCGAAAACGCGACACCGAAGAUCUCGAGCACACAUCCCCGAAUCACCUUCGUAGCAUACACCGCUCGCUCGUCGGCUAUAGAAAAUCAUAGAGGUCAACUCAACGCCUCUCGCUGAACACUGAUGUGUCGACUAAAUGCUAUUGACACAAAAGAUCGACUCGCACACAAGUCAAAUAACACUAAAGCAGACAUAGAACUCACAAGAAAAGUACCUACACAUAACAUAAUAUAAGCACAAUAUCUCAAAAUCAGCAUAAACAAAGAAAGAAUACAUACCAGCCACAACAUCGGGCGCUGCACGGACCUCCUCCACUGUCAACUGGAAGGCUCCCCCGUGAGCCUUCGGUGCCUCAGCCUUCACUGGCCGGGUCUCAGUAGCUCGAGCAGCAGGUGCGGACCCCUGCACUGAUCCCUGCAGUAGCCUUGGGCACUCGGCCUUCCGAUGGUCGGUCUGGUUGCAAUGAAAGCAAACCGAAAAUCCCUUAGGCCAAUCCCUCACGUAAUGCCCCUCCUUCCCACAAUUGUAACACACCCCAGCUCUGCACGCUCCCUCGUGGCUCUUGCUGCACUUCCCACAAGCGCGGCCCUUCGAACCCCCAGAUCUCGAAUCAGCGGGCUUUGCCCGCUUGGCUGCCGGCUGAGACUGUGUCGGCCGUCGAUCCGACCUUUGAGACUAGGCCUCCUCCCUGGCCUGAGUCUCCAACUCCAUCUCCCUCUUUCGGGCAUUUUCCUGGAGCUCAGCAAAUGUCUGUUAAGUCGAGUUCGACACGAACUCCCAAAUAUCCCUCCUCAAAACGCCCAAAUACCGGCUCAUGCGCGCCUGCUCAGUAGGCACCUGCUCAGGGCAGAACAUCGCCCUCUCAUGAAACUUCUGAUGGGUUUUGAGCAUUCUAACACUUCCUAAGUGUACAUGCAACCCUAAUAACCUUGGAUCUAUGUUUGUCUAAUUAUCAUGCAAAGCUAAAUUUCCAAGGUUAUAUUCCUAUCUAGCAUACAUGGGGAACAAUUUUAACUUGAAUGAAGGAUAGAAUAACUUACCUUGUUGUUGCUUAUGUUCCUUGAAACCUUGUGAGCCUAGCACCCCAAGUCUGAUGCCUCAAAUGCUUCACACAACACCAAAUGCUCUUGGAAAGACUUUUGAGAGAAUACACACUUCUUAAAAUCGGCCUAGCCCUCUAGUUUCUUAUGUGUACCCGAUUUUGGUGGAGAAUGGGACUCUUAUAUAGUGUUGACACAUCUAGGGUUACACCAUGUAAACCCUAAUGUGUCAUGACUCUUCAUUUCCAUGACCCAUGGGUUUGUAACUCCUAUGGAGCAUCCUAUGGGUGGAACCCAACUUGAUAAUCCAUGGAGCCUCUUAGCCCACUAUACAAGAUAUGGAUGAUUUACAUAAUCAACCCAUAUAUUUAAUUAGUUAUCCUUUGAUCACUUAAUUAAUUCCAAAUUAAUUCUUUGAUCAACUAAUCAAAUAAUAUUAUUAAUAUAUUAGAACUUAUAAUAUAUUAAUAAUCUCCAAGUGUUAUUUCUCUCAUUUAGUCUAUCCAAUUGCAUGGUGCCAUGCAACCCAAAUGGACCAUGCCGGGUCGGGUCAAGUACAAGCCCGAAAUAGUUAUGGACUUAGACACCUUAUCCAACAGUCUCCCACUUGGAUAAGUCUAAUAACUAUAUCUCUAGUACUUCAGGAACCGACCGGCAAUCGUAGCUCUUUCAAGGUCUCUCGGAACUGAGAAGAUGAUGGUACGCCAUUUAAGAUAAGUGAUCAUAUAAUCCUCCGUUCUAGAUAUCAGCCGGACAAAUACAUGGAACAUUGUCUUGCUUAUUGUCCAGCAUUUGUUUCCCGAUUUCCGAUUUGUUUGACAUAGAACUUAAUUGAACACAUCAACUUAGUUCUGACCGGGCCCGGUACAUGGGUCAAAACAAAAUCAUCGAGGGGCCCAGAUAUCAGCUUCUAAUCCAAGAAGGAACAGAUAAACUUCGACUCAUAUGUUUGUUCUACCACUCAUUGAAUUACACACAAAAGUACGUUUUAUAACAUCGAGUUACCAAUGCGGUUUCGUACAGUCAAUGCAUAACCAACUUGUAAGUAACAAAUCAUAUCUCUAGGUUUGAAGACUUAUAUGAUAUUACCGUCUCACGAUCACUCGAGAUAGAAUUCCAUGAAGUGAUUCCAGUGAGCGUGGGUUGAGUCCAAUGCUCAGAACUUAUGAGCACUCAUGAUUGUUGUAGCCUUGUCCAACACCUUAGACCUCUACAACCCAUCAUGACAGUCUUGAUUCAUACCUACUUCCGACAUAUGACCGACUGUGGAGGUUUGAAUAAUAUGUUACACCAAACAAAAUUAUUCUGGAAGUCAAAACAUGCAAAAGAAAUAUAGUAAACGAUUGACAAGAGAUAGCAACACUUUACUCAUAAAUAAAACACCUUUUAUUCAUCAUCAAAUGUCAAUUACACUUUACAAAUUUCUGGGUUAUCUAACUACUAAAACUUAUAUCAUCCUUCAGCCCUAUGCUCCGAGCAUGCUGGAGAUGCUUAACCCUACUCAGUCCCUUCGUGAGGGGAUCUGCUGGGUUCUCAUCCGAUGAUACCCUCUUUGCCACGAGGAGUCCUUCUUCGAUCCGAUGUCUAAUGAAAUGGUAUUUUCUGUCGAUGUGUCUGGAUCUCCCAUGAUCCCUUGGUUCCUUGGCUAAGGCAACAGCACUUUCACUAUCACAGAAAAUUUCCAUUGGCUCUUUAAUAGCUGGUACAACUCCAAGGUCUCCAAUGAAGUUCUUCAGCCAUAUCGCCUCCUUUGCUGCUUCGCUAGCUGCAAUAUACUCUGAUUCACAAGUAGAAUCUGCCACUGUCUCUUGCUUGGAACUCUUCCAAGAAAUUGCUCCUCCGUUUAGGGUAAAGACCCAGCCCGACUGAGAGCGGAAAUUAUCCCUAUCAGUCUGGAAGCUAGCAUCACUAUACCCUACAACUCUCAAGUCAUCACUCCCACCGAGGGUAAGGACCCAGUCCUUAGUCCUCCGUAGGUACUUGAGGAUAUUCUUUACCGCAGUCCAGUGUGCCUUGCCAGGGUUCGCCUGAUACCUGCUAACCAUGCUCAAGGCAAAAGCUACAUCGGGUCGAGUACACGUCAUAGCAUACAUGAUCGAUCCUACAGCCGAAGCGUAAGGUGUUCGACUCAUUUCUGCUAUCUCAGCCUCAGUGCUAGGGCUUUGUGUCUUACUCAAUCUGGUGUUACUCUGGAUGGGUAACUCUCCUUUCUUGGAAUCCUGCAUGCUGAAUCUCUUCAGCACCUUAUCCAAGUAGGUACUCUGACUAAGUCCAAUUAGUCUUUUACUCCGAUCUCUCAAGAUUCUUAUCCCUAGAAUAUAGGCAGCUUCACCAAGGUCCUUCAUAGCGAAACACUUCCCAAGCCAGGACUUUACUUCCUGCAGGGUUGGAAUGUCGUUUCCUAUGAGUAGUAUGUCAUCCACAUACAAUACCAAAAAGCUAACUAUACUCCCACUAGCCUUGACAUACACACAAGAUUCAUCUUCACUCCUAGAAAAGCCAAAUUCCUUGACCUUUUCAUCAAAGCAAAGAUUCCAUCUGCGAGGUGCUUGCUUCAAUCCAUAAAUGGAUUUCUCAAGCUUACACACUCUAUUAGGGUACUCGUUGCUGACAAAACCCUCUGGCUGACUCAUGUAAACAUCUUCAGCCAACUUUCCAUUAAGGAAAGCGGUUUUGACAUCCAUCUGCCAUAUUUCAUAGUCAUGAAAUGCAGCUAUGGCUAACAGAACCCGAAUAGACUUAAUCUUGGCUACCGGAGAAAAGGUCUCAUCAUAAUCCACUCCAGGAAUUUGAGAGAAGCCCUUUGCAACCAGUCUAGCCUUAUAAGUGUGUACUUUACCAUCCAUGUCGGUCUUCUUCUUGAAGACCCAUUUGCACCCUACUGUCUUACGACCUGGUACAUUUUCAACCAAGUUCCAAACUUGAUUGUCAUACAUGGAUUGUAUCUCGCUAUCCAUAGCCUCUUUCCAUUUAGCAGACUCGGGGCCUGCCAUGGCUUCCUCGUAGCUGUUAGGGUCAUCUUGACUUACUAGUGUCUCAUCACUAAUAAGUGUCUCACCUUCUGCAGUAAUAUGGAAUCCAUAGUAAUGCUCAGGUGCACUCCUAACUCUCGUGGAACGUCUCAGAGGUACAGAUUUGUCAAUUGGCUCAACAGGAGUUUCCUCCUCAAGUUGAGGGCUAGAGUUUGAAGUUCCUUCACCGCUUGAUUCUUGAAUUUCUUCAAGAUCAAUUUGCCUCCCACUGUCUCCUUGGCUUAUAAACUCUCUUUCUCGAAAGACUCCUCUUCUUGCUACAAAGACCACAUUGUCACUAGGUCUGUAGAAGAGGUAACCAAAGGAUCGCUGUGGGUAACCGAUGAAAAUACACCUCUCGCUUCGAGGUUCGAGCUUAUCAUGAGUCUCGCGUCUCACGAAAGCCUCGCAACCCCAAAUCUUGAUGUGGUCUAGUUUAGGUACUUUACCAGUCCACAUCUCGUGAGGAGUUUUGGCAACUUUCUUUGUAGGGACUAGAUUAAGAAUAUGGGCGGCAGUCUCUAAGGCAUACCCCCAGAAUGAGAUUGGUAGCGUAGCUCGACUCAUCAUGGAACGAACCAUAUCUAACAAGGUUCGAUUACGCCUCUCAGCCACACCAUUCAACUGUGGUGUCCUGGGAGGUGUCAAUUGUGAGACUAUCCCACAUUCCCUUAGAUAGUCGAGGAACUCUGAACUAAGAUACUCACCACCACGAUCGGAUCGAAGCAUCUUAAUGUUCCUGCCCAAUUGAUUCUCGACUUCCUGUUUAAAUUCCUUAAACCUCUCGAAAGUCUCUGACUUAUGCUUGAUCAAGUAGACAUAUCCAUAUCUACUAUAAUCAUCAGUAAAAGUCAAAUAAUAACGAUUAGCAUCCCUUGUGGCAUGUUUGAAUGGUCCACACACAUCCGUGUGUAUAAGGUCCAACAAACCUUCACCCCUCUCACACGAACCUGUGAAGGGUGACUUUGUCAUUUUUCCAAGUAAGCAUGAUUCGCAACUAUCAUCUGACUUUAGGUCAAACGACUCCAAGACUCCAUCCUUUUGGAGUUGGCCUAUGCGUUUCUUGCUUAUAUGUCCAAGACGACAAUGCCAUAAAGAUGCUUUAUCCAAGUUAUUAUUAGUAGAAUCAAUACACAAAACAUUAUUUCCCAAGUUAUCUACAACAGAUACAGCUUCAUACACACCAUCACAAGGUAAUGCUUUAAAAUAAAAGACAUUAUUAUAGAAAACAUCUAUAGAACCAACUUCAUUAUUAAAUGAAAAGGUAAACCCUUGUUUGUACAAAGCAUGAAAGGAAAUAAUAUUUCUUGCCAUUCCUGGCGAAUAACAACACUUAUUCAAAUCUAAACUAAACCCACUACUUAGCGAUAAAGUAUAAACUCCAAUCUUGGUAACAGGUAUAGCUUUCCUAUUCCCCAUGAUCAAGUUUAUCCUUCCUUGCUCCACAUCCUCACUUCUUCUUAGUCCCUGCAAGUCACAACAAAUGUGAAUACCACACCCGGUAUCAAGGACCCAAGAAUUAGAAUGGGGUGAGUUAUUAGAAAUGAUAGUGUAAAUACCUGCAUGGUUGGGUUUAACUUUCCCAUCCUUCACAUCUUGCUGGUAUUUUGGGCAGUUCCGCUUCCAAUGAGCUUUUUCAUGGCAAUAGAAGCAUUCAGCCUCUUUUGGGUCAGAAGAAGGAGUAAUGAAACCUUUCUUGGUUCCACUUGAAGAAGAGCCAUCAAGGGUCCGAACCUUGGUACCCUUAGAAGAGCUCUUUCUCUUCCUCCCUCGACUUUUCCCGAUUGCCAAAACCGGAGUAGAGUUUUGAGUAGGAGUGAUAGCAACCGACUUCCCCUUAAGACCUGAUUCUGCGGUCUUGAGAAGUCCCUGAAGUUUGCUGAGGGUGACUUCUUCCUUGUUCAUGUGAUAUGUCAUGCGGAAUUGAUCAUAGCACGAUGGUAAGGAAUGCAAAAUAAUAUCUAUUGCAAGAUCCUCCGGGAAGUUCACAUUAAGCUUCAGCAAACGAUCCACAUACCUUUGCAUUUUCUGCAUGUGGCUCGUGACGGAUUCCCCGUCCUUCAUCAUGGUUGUUAUCAUGGAGCAGAUGAUUUCAUACCUCUCUUGUCUUGCACUUUGAUGGUAUCUUUCCAUCAAAUCUUGGUGCAUUUCAUAAGGGUAGAAAUCCUCAUAAGACUUUUGGAGUUCCGCUGUCAUCGUGGCCAUCAUGAUGCAAGCCACUUUCGUAGCAUCCCUUUCAUGUGCCCGAAAUUCAGCGAUCUCCUGAGGAGUUGCAGUGGACUCAUCAAUCUCCUUAAGCUCCUUGUCAAGGACAUAUUCUUUGUCCUCGUAGCGGGUAAUCAUCCUGAUGUUUCUGAUCCACUCAUUGAAGUUGGAUCCAUCAAAGGUGACUUUCCCACACAAGUUCAUAAGGGUAAAGGAGCCAUUAGGAUUAGAGCCAGAAGCAUUGUUGAAAGACAUCUGAAGGAAAGAGGACAAGAUUAGUUUAGAUAUAAGAGAGUCCUUAAUAAAACACCCAAAUGUAAUAUUAAGGCUAGGAUCCAAUCACAAUAUAAUAUAACUUAGAAGAGGUAUGCCGUAAUCUAAGCUAUAUCAUAUUUGAAAGGUAGGUGAAUGACGAUUCACCAAUUUCCACCACGAAAACCGCAAUAUUUUAGUAUUAGGUUUUUGAAUGGUUCUUAGAAAUUCCUAGAUUCUUUGAGAUUCAAUGAACUUUUCAAAGGCAUGUUUCAAUCUCGAGUGUGCCCUCCAAGUUUUGUGACUGGGAUACCGAGGAUCACAAAACGAGGUGUGAAGUAACCAUGCAAAUCACUUGGUACCCUUAAAGUUUAUCACUCAAUCGAUGUGCCGGUUAACCACACACGCUCCAUCGAUACUAUAAUAAACCCUAAGUCACCCUUUACCUACCUUGUUAAGUCCAAGUUAGUGUGCCGGUUAACCACACACGCUCCACCAACGACUUAAUCAAAGUGUAAAGUGUAAUUUCAUGGAAUAGCACCUUAUUCACAUUUUUCCUAAAGUAACUAAGAUUGGGAAUUUAAUAAAACAUUUAGUUACUUUAUAAUAUUCAUCAUACUUUGAAUGAGAAUUAAUAAGUCCUUGUCUUACCCGUUCGGCUAACGACCCUCCACCGAUCAAGCAAGCGGUGGGUGAGAGUGGACACCCAUUAAGUCACCAUUUUAUAGGCAACAACCUUAUACCCACCUUAUAGACCGGCUUCGUGAAUGAGGCGUACUAGCGGUAAGACGACUUUGUUCUUAUACAUAUAUAUAUAAUUAUUAAAUCAUAAUAAUAUAAGUAUAAGGGUUGAAUUUUAACUUUUAAAAUUCUAGGGGUUGGAACUAAAGUUUUAACUUAACUUUACUUGUUCCAAAACUUGAGGGCAAGUUUUGUAAACUUUCAAAACUUUUCAUUUCUUGUAACUUAUGAGUUUAAUAGAGUAAUAAAAUGAGGACUUUUCAUUUUUCCUAACUCUUGUGUUCUUUUAAUGGUUUUUAAUCCAAGAGACUUUUGGUUUUCCAUAACUUGAGGACAAGUUAUGGACUCCAUUAAAACACAUUAUGAUCAUGAAUUAAUCUACCACAUAGGUUACAAAUAAUUCCUAUGAUCAUCUAAACAUCAUAAGAACAAGAAUAUGAAUAUGAACACUUUCAAGAAUCAAAAUCACAUUUAAUCUUUGUAAUUUUGAUAACUAGUUGUUGUAAAUGAGUUAGAAAAGACAUUACACCUUCUAAAAUAAGUUUUCAAGUACCAAAACAUUUUAGGGUAAUGAUUCUAAUCCAUUUCCAGCAACUCAAGUCGAAAUUCUGCACUCUGUCGACCCUACUCGCCGAGUGCAUAAACCUACUCGCCGAGUAGGUUGAAGAUACACAUGAACUCGACGAGUCCUCCCCAUGGACUCGCCGAGUCCAUCAGUCAGACAGCAAGAUUUUCGACUUUCUUCAACUUUUAAGCACAAAUAACAAACAAACAAGCCUAGGCUCUGAUACCACUGAUGGGUUUUGAGCAUUCUAACACUUCCUAAGUGUACAUGCAACCCUAAUAACCUUGGAUCUAUGUUUGUCUAAUUAUCAUGCAAAGUUGAAUUUCCAAGGUUAUAUUCCUAUCUAGCAUACAUGGGGAACAAUUUUAACUUGAAUGAAAGAUAGAAUAACUUACCUUGUUGUUGCUUAUGUUCCUUGAAACCUUGUGAGCCUAGCACCCCAAGUGUGAUGCCUCAAAUGCUUCACACAACACCAAAUGCUCUUGGAAAGACUUUUGAGAGAAUACACACUUCUUAAAAUCGGCCAAGCCCUCUAGUUUCUUAUGUGUACCCGAUUUUGGUGGAGAAUGGGACUCUUAUAUAGUGUUGACACAUCUAGGGUUACACCAUGUAAACCCUAAUGUGUCAUGACUCUUCAUUUCCAUGACCCAUGGGUUUGUAACUCCCAUGGAGCAUCCUAUGGGUGGAACCCAACUUGAUAAUCCAUGGAGCCUCUUAGCCCACUAUACAAGAUAUGAAUGAUUUACAUAAUCAACCCAUAUAUUUAAUUAGUUAUCCUUUGAUCACUUAAUUAAUUCUAAAUUAAUUCUUGAUCAAACUAAUCAAAUAAUAUUAUUAAUAUAUUAGAACUUAUAAUAUAUUAAUAAUCUCCAAGUGUUAUUACUCUCAUUUAGUCUAUCCAAUUGCAUGGUGCCAUGCAACCCAAAUGGACCAUGCCAGGUCGGGUCAAGUACUGACCCGAAAUAGUUAUGGACUUAGACACCUUAUCCAACAACUUCCUGCUAACCACAGUAACAUAAUCAACACCCUGCUUGAGGGUCAAGAACUCCUGAGCCAAACGCUCCCUUUCCACCGGAGGGACAUACUCAUCUCGAAACAUCGUGGUGAACCUCUCCCAGGUCACCGCAGUCAGCUCUGCCGUAGUGAAGUCUGCCGUCACAAACUUCCACCAGUCCUUCGCCCCCAAGCGAAGCUGGUUCAGCGCAAACCGAACCCUCAAAUGCUCUGGACACGAGCAAGUAUAGAAACAACCCUUAACAUCGGUAAUCCAUCUCAUAGCAGCAAUCAGAUCUUGCAUCCCAUUAAACUUUGGUGGCUUCGUGUUGCUGAACUCUCUGUUCAGCAACGAGUCACCCCCUGCGGCCUGGCAGCAGCGACGGUUGCGGUGGCCGCAGCAACAACUGCAUCAGUAAGAGCGGCGUAUCGCUCAUCAAAAGUCUCCAUCAACGUGGUCUUGAUAGACCCGAACAUCUCGGGAAUCUCAUCACGGAUGGCAGCAGCCACCUCAUCAUGAAUCAUAUAGCAGAGCUCCUCAUCACUCACAACCCCCUCGCUAGUCCCUGGCCGGUGGCGUGUCCCAACCAUGAUGUCUCUCUCAAAUGAAAUACAACACAAGGUAUCAGAGACUCGCUCGAGUAUACUCGCACUCGAUAACUCAACCCUACUUGUUCCUUAGUACCCAAAGAAUUCUUACUUAGGGCGCGCACUGCUCCGGUAUCUUCGGUAGUACGGGCCCUAUAUUACCGUCCACACCGCAUCAGCAUUCACUCUAAGUCUUCCUCCUUGGAUCCCAGGUCACAAGUACACUAUAUCUCACUGGAACAGGCUACCUAUUCACUCUCAAGCAUCACAAAGCAACAAACCAUUCCUAGGCUAAGGCAUCACAAAUCAGGCCACUCUAGUCCUAAUAUGAUUACCUAGCCUACUCUAACAUGCAUAUCAUAUCACAUCAUAUCUCAUAACACAUAAUGUAAGGAUAUUUUGGGAAAUCAACGUUCGGGCGCUGGCUGAUUGUACACACUGCUCUGCUCUGCUCUUUCAGAACUUUUUACUUUUUAAUAACAUUUUGUGAAUUUUAUUUUGAAAAUCUCUCAAAUCCUCAGUUUGAGUUCCGAUACGCCCGAAGGUGUACCCGAAUCCCUCAAACCAAGGCUCUGAUACCAACUUGUAACACCCAAAUAUUUCAAACAAAUUUUCACAUUUUAUAAAACACAUUUUCAUCCAUAAUUGUUAUAAAAACACCAUUGUUCACAUAUUUAAAUCAUAACAUCAUAUCCCAAGAUCAUAAAAUAGAAACUCCUCGUGUGUGUACAAAUCAUGCCGGCACCUUCCCGCGAUCCUCACUAGUACCUGAAACACAUCACACAACAAGUGCAAGCAUAAAAGCGUAGUGAGUUUCCCAAAUACCACAAGCAACACAUACGCCACUCGAGGCUACAAUGCGACCCUUCGGUCCGAUGUGUCUCAGCGGGACCCUCUAGUCCCGUAGCUCGUUGGACCCUCUGAUCCGGUUAUAACUCGUUGGACCUUUCGGUCCGGUCUGUAUCGUUGGACCCUCCGGUCCGGUCUAUACAACACAUAGCAUACAUAUACACAAAGCACUUAAUCUCAUACAUACACAUAGCAUACACGCCUUUCCUCUUUGCCCAUGGUCCUCUCUUGACUCACUGAGUCAACCCUAUACUCCACAGGUCGUCACAGAUCGCGAGUCGCGGGGUAACCUGUCUCAACUCGUCGAGUCCUCUCAUGGACUCGGCGAGUACAUGCCAUGCUCACACACAAACGACCUUCUAAGUUCAGAUCUGUUCCUCUAAUCCAUAGAUCUGGCCUUACCAACCACUAUAAUCAUGUAAAGUCUCAAUCUUGAUGCACAUGCAACAUCCAUAUGACCAUAUAUGAUGAUUUAGCCCCAAAUACCUUAACCCAAGGUCAUGACCUCCAUUGCUCUUCAUAAAGCUUGAUGAGUAAGGCUCUCUGAACCUCUAUGGAUGCAGAUCCAAAGCCUCAUUAUCAGAAGGGACUAUUUGGACCUCAAAUCAACUUAGACAAGGGCAUAAGAAACCCUAAAACCAUAUAUUCUUCCUAAAACAGAAGAAGAGUUGAAGUAAUACCUCAUAUGAAAUGAUCUUAGCUUCAAAUCCCCAGAAUAGCAACCCCCUUUGCUUUCCCUUGGCUAGAACCUCCUUCUUCUUGCUAAACAACACCACAACGGUCAAGAAUGGCUUCUUUUCUCUCUCUCAAAACGCUCUAGCACUCUAGGGUUUCUCUCUAUGGACUGGUGGCCACAAAUGACGGCCAUAAGGGCCUUUACAUAGGCCACAAACCCGAGAAAUUAGGGUUUCAUUAAACAGCGUGGACUCACCGAAGCCAUGCAUGGACUCGCCGAGUCCCUCAUUAAUCAGACCACUCAAAUCGCGAUCUAACUCGGCGAGUCGGGGCUCCUACUCGCCGAGUAUCUCUCCAAAAUUCAAUAUAAAUGAAUAAAUUAAUAUACCUGGGAAUCCGGAUGUUACACGUUUCUAUUGGUUUUUGUCGGUUCUACCGGUUUCGGUUCCUACUGGUUCCCGAUUCCAAAAAUCCAUAAGAAUAUUGUCUCGGUCCUGGCCCGACCGGUUCCAUUGGAUUCCCAUUCAUACCAGUUGCGGCCGGUUCCCCAGUCCAUAUGCUCAUCCCUACAAUCAAGAUUAGUUAUCAUUCCAUUCUUGGUAGACCAUGCUUUGUUUAUGAGCCAUAUACAACCUUUUAAUAUCAUGUCUAGUAAUAUACAAUCUUUCAAUAUCUCGUCUAGUAGGUUAACGUAAGUGUUCUUUGCUAAAAACCUCUGUAACAUAUGCACAAAAAUACUUCACACACUCUCAUGUAGUUCUCAUAUAUAUUUUAAAUAUUCAUUCGUUGCUUCAUAGGUAAUACUAUAACCUAGAUACCUAUGUGCAGUUGUACAUUUCUAUAUAAUAGUAAAGCCCAUUCUACCUCUAGGUCCAGUUCUGCUAAAAAAUCACAUCGUGCCUCUAAAGUGUUACUAAUGCGUAAAAAUACCUCUUUAUUUAUACGAAAACGAUGUUCAAAUGCUUCCUCCUUAUAAAUACAAUUCCCAACAAAAUAAUCACAUACCAAAUGUUUAUAUGAAGCUUGACGAUAUUGGUUGACAAUGGCUCUUGUGUGCUUAACAUGAGUGAAUUAUUGAUCAACAAUGUUUGUAACAAUAUUAAAGAAUGAUGAGAAAAACUCCCCGUCAUCACAAAAUCAUAUCUUUUCAAAAAUUUCCUUGUUUAUAGUGUUAAAAAUAGAUAAAAGAUAAUGAAGACUUUGAGUGAAAUUUUACUGGUAUAUAUAGAUGAGAUGAUGAGUGUGUUUAAGUAAAUAUGAUUUUCUUAAGAAAAUUCCACAAGUAGUCGUUUAACCCUUAGUCAUCAAAUCUUAUUCCCCCAUUAGAGCGUUUCUCAUCAUGUCGCUAUCCACAAACCACCAUGGUAGUGUGUCACACCCCGAAAACCGAAGGCGGAAACAUUUUCGAGGUUGACUCCACGUUGAGUAUCAAAUCAAAUGUGCAUAGUAAGUAAAGUAAACAACCAUUACAUUACAUAUAGAAAAGUUUUACAUUUGUUUCAAAAGCAUAAGUUAUACAAGUGAUACAUAGUAUAUAUAAACAACACGAAACGAGUCUUCUGAGAACUCCGUCUUCGCACAAAAGGAUCUUCGGGUACCUGUCUAACACGGACCUGAGAAUACAAGCGGUUUGAAAAUCAGCAUAAAGCUGGUGAGUUCAUAAGCGGUUUUGUUUUUCUGAAAAUGUACGAGUUCCCUUAGUUUUCUGAAAACGUGGUUAUCCAAGAAAAUCCCAUAUUUUCUUAUGUAAAGUUAGUUUCCAAAUCCGAAAAGUAAAGUAAACGAUGUACAAUGAAAACAUGAUUGUUCUUGUGAAUUGUAGUUCAGUUGUUUAACUUGUUAUACUUUUCUAGUUACGUACUACUGUUACUCAGGAAGAACCCCAUGUUCUCCUGACUGUGUGUGUGUGAACUAUUACCAAUUCUGAUUAUGUUCAGUGUCCUCCCCAGGAAAACCCCAUGUUUUCCUGACUGUGUGUGUACUGUUACCAAUCCUGUGUGUACUAACUGUUUCCGAUUCCGAAUAUGUUCAAUGUUAUCCCCAGGAAAACCCCAUGUUUUCCUGACUGUGUGUAUGUGUGUGCCUGUCAUCCUUGAACGUACAUUAGUUUUAUUACGUACAUAAAACUAAUAAAUACUCGUAAAGUGUUAAUAAUCCUGAUUGCGAGUCCUUAACCAUACUCAGACUAGAUAUGACUCGGACCAGGGCCAGUAUCCUUUUUAUGACUUUUGUCACCCUUGAACCUUUCGGUUCGGCUGUAGCUAGCAGCCAGGUGUGGGAUUGUCAGUCCCGUAUAGAUCUAUACACUCAAGCCACGCUCUCCUACGAACGGAGAUUCUGGUUACAGGGUUAGUCCUCCACUAUCUCGUGCCAUGGAAGUGUUACAAGGACGUGUCUCCAAUCUUUAAGAUUACUCUUUACUUUUCGACUAGGAAAGUAGUAUUUACGACUAGCUAUGUUCUACGUACCUGUCCUUUACACUCGAGCCUAGGUGUUUUAUUAAGGACAUUACACUCGAGCCAAGGUGUUAUCUAAUGAUGAUUGUCCUUUUACACUCGAUCCUAGGUGUAUUAUUAAGGACAUUACACUCGAGCCUAGGUGUUAUUUAAUGAUUACGGUCCUUUACACUCGAUCCUAGGUGUAUUAUUAAGGACAUUACAGUGAUUUGUGUGUUAUGAUGGUAUUUAUCUAUCACACUCGAACCUAGGUGUAUUGUUAAGGACGUACAGAUGUUUUAUGUUUUCUAAUGGUGUCUGUCUUUUACACUCGAACCUUAGUGUUUUAUUACAGACAUUACAAUGGUUUAUGUGUUCUAUCAGUUUAAAUGUGAACAAUCAAAUGUAAAGUAUACAAUAUAACAGAGUGUAAUAAGAAUUGAAAAUCGGGUUAAAACAAACAACUCUGCAAGUUAAAACAGUUUGUUAAAAGGUUUUCAAUUCUUAAAAUGUACAAUUAUGAAACCAUUUGACUGAAAUCAUAAGUUUCAGUAAAAGAUAUUCUUGUACUUUUUCUUGUAUUCCCCCCCUGAAAACAUUGAAAAACCAUUGAAAAAGGGUAGGGGUAUGAACUCACCGGACGCGGAUAUGUGUUGAUUUCGGAUGUAAACGUCGAAUCGAGGCCUGAUAACACGCGAGGUUCCUAUGUAAUAUGAAAUGGCAUACAAAUAUAUCUAAUUAAAUUCAUAAACUCUAAUUAGAUAUGAAGUCACACUCCAACGAACGAAAACACCCCAAAACGGGUGUUUGGAGUGACCCGGGUGACAUCUACGGACGGGAAUUGAAGCGAGCGACUUGGAAUUUGAGUUUACUCCCCAAGAGUAAACUCCCCAAUGAAGUUUAGGGCCUAAACACCCAUUCCCCAUGAGUUUACGGCCGUAAACUUAUGGUGGGGUGGUUUAUGGUGUUUAAUGGGUCACAAAUGGAUAUUAACACUUGGAAAUGCUUGGAAUAAUUUUACCUAAGACUUGGAUUGAAUUAAAAUCACCAAAUACAACCCUUAAGGGAGUUUACGGCCUUGGCAUGGGGUCUAUGGCCGUAAACUCUCAUAUCUCCUUGAAUAAUUGUUUUUAAGGUCCCAAAAUUAAUCACAUGUGAUUCUAAAAAUUCCUACAAGCCUAGAAAUGAAUUUUGGGCACCAUUUGACAUCCUUUUAGGAGUUUACGGCCUUGAAGCAUGUUCUAUGGCCGUAAACUCUCAUAUGUGAGGUUUUUUGUGUUUAAGGUCCUUAAAUGUCACACCCCAAAACCUGAACGACGGAAACGUUCGGGGGCGGAUGACUUCAUGUGGUAACGUAACAAAUGAAUACAUAGUAAAGAAAGCAAUACAACCAUCAUAUAUAUAAUUGAAAGCUUAAAUUUGUCAAAAGUUACAUGUUCAAAACCAAUUACAAUAUGAUGUCAAAAUAUGAAAUUAAACUGGUGCCGCAGCAUCUCUUCUUCAAAAGCAUAUUAGUACCUGAAAUUACUGAAUCCCUGGGACAUACAAGAAGUUUUGAAAGAGUAGAUCAACAUUUAAGCUGGUGAGUUUCAUAAGUAUUAAAUGACAAUGUUUGUAUGAAAUGAAAUGUUUUGUCCUUGUUUGUUUGUUUCCAGAAAAUCCUAUAUUUUCUACUAGUAUAAAAGUAGCCUUCUCUCAAGACCAAUGUUUGUUUCUAAAAAUCGUAUGUAAGUGUAAAAUAACCAAUGUGUUUGAAAACCUUGUAAAUCAAUGCAUUUUUAAUACCCCAUGUGAGUUUUAUAACCAUACUAUUGACUCGGAAUGCCUAUACACAACGUUCUUCAGGCGUUGGAAUGUUAUGACGUUUGUCACCCCAAAUGGUGGACUGUAGCUAACAGUCAAGGCGCGGGUUGUCAAGCCCGUAUAGAUCUAUACACAAACACCAUGCUCCCCCUCCAAGGGAUUCUGGUAUAUAAUACAGGACUUGAAAUGUGUACUCGAACGUACAUGAAGUUAGUGUCUCACAAAUCCGUGGUAUAAAAACAGAUCUACUUGUUAAAAUGUUACGUUUGUUCUUGUAUACGAAAGUAAACUUCUUGAAAUAUGUGUUUCUAGUACAUAAGAGUUAGAAAUCUGUUCGUAAAACUAUACCUAUUAUAGUUUCCAAAAAGCGUGUCUUGUUUGUUUAGAAAUAUUGAGAAAAGGAAUCACUUGUUUAUGAAAGUAUAGAUUUUUGGUGUAGAGUCUAGGAUAGACAAGAAAAAUCUAAGAACAGUUUAGUUUAUACAUGCAUUACAACAACAUUAUAUUUUAAAAGGUAAAAUGCUAUUGUGACAUAUGUUAUAUAUAUAUAAAAGUUCCUUUAAAUGUUUAUAAAUCGCAUGUGAUUUGAAUAUAUAACAGUAUAUAAAAGAGUUUCUUUAUGUAACACACGAUAAUACUCGUGUGUUUUACUUGUAAUCCCCCCCUUGAAAGCAUAUAAAAGUAUUUAGAAUAAUUAAAAAGGUUGAUUAAGGGGUAUGAAACUCACUUGAAAGUUUUGGAGAUAGCGAGAUGGAAAACCGGGCAGAGUUUCGUCUCGGGAAACGGAUUUUCCUCGGGAUUCUCGGGAAUCUCGGGAGUAAAAUCGACCUUCGGGACUUGAGCCAAAAAGACCAGAGCUUCGGGUUUGAACGGACACGGAAAACGAGGCAAAGUUGAGAGAGAGAGAAGAGAAAUGAACCCUUUCUUUGGAAACCCUCGCAUCCUAUUUAUAGUAAGGCUGGUCUGCCUCGGUACGCGGGGCGUACGCUCGUACGCAGCGCGUACGCGUACGUCAUGCAUGACCGAAGCCUCGACUGCCUCGGUUCGGAUGGGACGGGUUGCUGGGUACGCGGGUCGGAUGGGACGCCGGGUCGGAUGGGACGUCGGGUCGGACGGGUCGGGGCUUCGGACGGGUCGGAUGGGUCGGUUUCUUCGGAUAGCGCGACGUGGACGAUCAGAGGCCAAUCCUCUCGGUUACGCGGGGCGUACAGGGGUACGCAGCGCGUACCUCGGAGGAGGAUGCUGACUCCCCUUCGGAUAAUAUCCGAAUUUUGAAUUAAAUAAAUAAUUAAUUUAUUUAAUAAACUUCAAAAAUUCAUAUCUUCUUCAUACGAACUCCGUUUUCGAUGGUCUUUAUAUCCUCGCGUAGGUGAGACUACGCUCUACAACUUUCGUUUAGACUCCGUCGGCAAAUUCCAAAAUUAUAUUUUUAUUAUUUAUUAAAAACCCAUCGUGUUUAAGGAAUUUCUUUGAAAAUUCAUAACUUCUUUAUCUGAUGUCGGUUUUUGCCAGACUUUUUACCGCUGGAAUACCAUUGUCGAGACCUUCGAUUCUCGUUUAGGUCAUUCCGGCCAAAAGUCGCUCGAUCUCCGAUUCGAGUUUUUAGCUGUCUGUUGCUAAGCCGAACUUGGAAAAAUCAUAACUUCGCUAUAUGAAGUCGGAUUUGGGCGUUCUUUUCACGUACGAUCAUGGUUCAAAGACAUUUAAUCAUAGAAGGAAAUUAAGUAGAACUUAUUUAUACAUUUUAUUAUGAAAGUAACUUUUUAUUAUUCAGAAGUGGUUACAAUACUUGACCCAUUUUGGUCGUUACAAAGAGUUGAAAUAUCGGGUUGUCACAUCAUCCCCCCGUUAGAGAGAAUUUCGUCCCGAAAUUUAAAGUAGUAAAGAUACUAGUGAACAUGAAAGAGAUGAGGGUACUUUUGUUUCAUCUGAUCUUCGCGUUCCCAUGUGAAUUCAGGUCCCCGCUUGGCGUUCCAGCGAACCUUCACGAUGGGUAUGCGACUUUGUUUUGUUUGUUUGACCUCUCGGUCCAUGAUUUCUACUGGUUCUUCCACAAAGUUGAGGCUCUCGUUGAUCUCGAUCUCGUCGAGUGGAAUAACAAGAGUCUCGUCGGACAGACACUUUUUCAAGUUUGAGACGUGGAAGGUUGGAUGGAUGUUACUAAGUUCGCGCGGUAGGUUAAGCUUGUAAGCCACAGGGCCGAUUCUGGCAAGAAUCUCGAAAGGCCCUAUGUAUCUUGGAUUUAGUUUCCCACGCUUUCCAAAUCGUAUUAAACCCUUCCACGGUGAGACCUUUAAUAAGACGUGGUCUCCUACCUGGAAUUCCAAAGGUUUCCUCCUUUGGUCAGCGUAGCUUUUCUGUCGGUCUCUUGAGGCUUUCAAUCGUUCACGAAUCUGAACGAUCUUCUCUGUUGUUUCACGUAUGAUCUCCGGACCGGUGAGAGUGCUUUCAGGAACUCUUCCUCUAGCUAACUGGGUAUCGCCAACUUCAGUCCAGCACAGAGGGGAUCUGCACUUUCGACCAUAGAGGGCUUCAAACGGAGCAGCCUUUAUGCUUGUAUGAUAACUAUUGUUGUAUGAAAAUUCGACAAGGGGUAAAUGAAUAUCCCAUGCCUUUCCAAAGUCAAUCACACAGGCUCUCAGCAUAUCUUCUAAAGUUUGUAUUGUUCUCUCACUUUGUCCGUCUGUUUGUGGGUGGUAGGCUGUACUCAUGUCUAGCCUAGUUCCCAGGGAACUUUGUAGUGACUGCCAGAAUCUUGAAGUGAAUCUACUAUCUCGAUCGGAGAUAAUGGAUAUCGGAACACCAUGCAGUCGCACUACUUCCCUUAAGUAAGUUCUUGUAAGCUUCUCCAUUUUGUCAGUCUCCUUGAUGGGUAGGAAAUGCGCGGAUUUGGUCAAUCUGUCGACAAUGACCCAUAUGGUAUCGAGUCCACUUGUCGUCUUGGGUAACUUGGUUAUGAAGUCCAUAGUAAUCCGCUCCCAUUUCCAUUCUGGUAUCUCCGGUUGUUGUAGUAAUCCUGACGGUUUCUGAUACUCGACCUUAACCUUAGCGCAAGUAAGGCAUUUACUUACGAAGGUAGCAAUUUCUGCUUUCAUGUUAGGCCACCAGUACAGUUUCUUAAGAUCCAGAUACAUUUUAUCUGAACCUGGGUGAACGGAAUAUCUUGAGUUGUGUGCUUCGGUCAUGACUACGUUUCUGAAACCACCAUGUUUCGGGGUCCAGAUUCGGUCCAUGAGAUAGUAGGCUCCGCCACCCUUGACUUCUAGAUUCUUUUCCAUUCCUCGCAGGGAUUCACCCGCCACAUUUUCAGGUUGCAAAGCUUCCAGUUGUGCCUCCUUAAUUUGUGUGGAUAAGUGGGAAUGGAUAGUCAUAGUCAGAGAUUUGACCCUCCGACCAGUGUAUUCCUUUCGACUGAGGGCGUCAGCUACUACGUUGGCCUUGCCAGGAUGAUAACGAAUUUCGCAUUCGUAGUCAUUUAGUAACUCAACCCAUCGUCGUUGUCGCAUGUUGAGUUCCUUCUGAUCGAAAAUGUGUUGAAGGCUCUUGUGAUCGGUGAAAAUAGUACUCUUUGUUCCGUAUAAGUAGUGUCUCCAGAUCUUCAGAGCAAAUACCACUGCUCCUAACUCAAGAUCGUGUGUCGUAUAGUUCACUUCGUGUGUCUUAAGCUGUCGGGAGGCAUAAGCAAUAACCUUCCCUCUCUGCAUAAGAACACAACCAAGUCCUUGGUUUGAUGCAUCACAAUACACUACAAAAUCUUCUAUUCCUUCGGGAAGGGAUAGUAUCGGUGCGGUGCACAAGGCCUGUUUCAGUGUUUGGAACGCCUUCUCUUGUUUCGCUUCCCAGUCAAAGGCCACGCCUUUCUGGGUUAAUGUAGUAAGAGGUUUCGCAAUGCUAGAGAAGUUCUUUAUGAAUCUGCGAUAGUAGCCAGCGAGACCUAGAAAUUGACGAAUCUCUGUAGGUGUCUUUGGUGCCGACCAGUUCUCAAUGGCCUUAAUUUUGGAGGGGUCCACGUGUAUCCCCUUCUCGCUAACAACGUGGCCCAAAAAUUCGACUCUUCGAAUCCAAAAUUCGCAUUUAGAGAACUUCGCAUAGAGCUUCUCCGAUCGCAAUGUUUCUAAGACUUUUCGUAGGUGCUGACUAUGCUCUUCCUUACUUCGGGAGUAGAUAAGUAUAUCAUCGAUGAAGACGAUGACGAACUGAUCUAAGUAAGGACGGCACACCCUAUUCAUUAGGUCCAUAAAUACUGCUGGUGCGUUGGUUAAUCCGAACGGCAUCACUACAAAUUCGUAGUGUCCAUAACGAGUUCGGAAGGCUGUCUUGGGAAUAUCCCCCUCUAGUACUCGUAAUUGGUGAUAUCCGGAUCGUAGAUCUAUCUUCGAGAAGUAGUUUGCUCCUUGAAGUUGAUCAAAUAGGUCAUCAAUGUGGGGUAGAGGAUAACGAUUUUUGACAGUAAGCUUGUUCAGUUCUCUGUAGUCGAUGCACAUGCGGAACGAUCCGUCUUUCUUCUUUACAAACAGGACCGGUGCUCCCCAAGGUGAGAAACUUGGUCUAAUGAAUCCUUUUUGAAGGAGUUCGUUAAGCUGACUGGAAAGUUCUUGCAUCUCUGCUGGUGCUAGGCGAUAAGGCGAUUUCGCUACUGGGGUAGCCCCUGGAACUAAGUCGAUUCUAAACUCGACUUGGCGUUGUGGUGGUAAUCCCGGUAGUUCUUCUGGAAAGAUAUCGGGAAAGUCGCGUACUUCUGGAAUGUUCUUGAUGUCCUUCGGUUCCUGACUUGUAUCGACGAUGUGCGCUAGGAAUGCUCAACAAUCCUUCCGUAAACACUUUCGAGAUUGGAUGCAUGAAAUGAUACGAAGGUUUGUACUUGAUUUGUCGCCAUAGAUAAUUAAUGUUUCGUUGUUAGGGAGAUUAAGACGAACUGCUUUCUCAAAGCACAUGAUGUCGGCGCGAAGAAGACUCAACCAAUCCAUGCCGACUAUGACGUUGAAAUUUUUAAUUUGGACCGGCAUGAGAUUGAUUGGGAAAGAACGACCAUCUAAAGUUAACGUACAGUCCAUGUAUAUGCAGUUAGUGUUUUCCGUUUUUCCAUUGGCCAUCUCUACAGUGAAUGAUUUUUCUAACUUGCUAGGUUUAUGUUUAAGUAAGUGAAUAAAGUUUUGACUCACGAAGCUUCUCUCCGCUCCACUAUCGAAUAAUAUGCAUGCAUAUGAAUUAUCGAGAAGGAACGUACCAGCAACUAUAGUCGGAUCAGCUACGGCUUCAUCGUGGCCUAUAGCCAAAACUCGUCCCACCCUGUNGGCAGUUCCUCUUGUAGUGGCCCACCUCGCCACAACCGUAGCAAGUCUGGCCUACACCCGCGUUGGGAACUUGAGUGAUCGGCUUUGCGGGAUCCUUGCUGAAACGGACAGUGUGUCCCUUUCUGUUGCAGUUGGAGCACUACAUUUCCCAACAAGGUCCAUGAUGGUGGUAAGUGCAUUUGGUGCACUUUGGAAGAUUACCCCCAUAAGUCUUUGUCGGGUAAGAUUUGUAGGGACUGUAGUAGGUACCGUGGCAGCAUUCACUGAGGCCAGUUGUUUCUUCGCAGAUUCUUGGGAAGACCCACCCUUUCCUUUAUUCCAUACCCUCUUCUUGUUAUUGUUGUUGUUGUUGUUGUUGUUGUUGUUGUUGUUGUUGUUGUUGUUGUUUCCUUUUUGUGGUUCUAGUGUAGCAACCGUUGAGUUCUGAUGACCUCCAUAAUCAACAAGAGAUUGUGCCAGUUCCUUGGCACUUUCAAAGGUGUCAGGUUUUGAAGCUAACACGUUGGACCUAAUUUGGGGCGACAGUCCCCAAAUGUAUCUCUCUAUUUUCUUGCUUUCAGGAGCAGUCAUGUCUGGGCAAAGGAUUGCCAGAUCGCAGAACCUGUUGGUAUAAGUCGCGAUGUCGUUACCAACCAUUCCAAGAGUCCAGAGCUCAUGCUCGAGUUUUUGAAUCUCUCCUCGUGGACAGUAUUCUCUCAUCAACAUGACCUUUAAGCUCUCCCAGCUUAUGGAGUUUGCCACUAUCAGGGUAAGUAACUUAAUGUGGCCAUUCCACCAAGUUAAAGCCCUAUCAAUAAGGGUGAAAGUUUCAAACUUGACUUUGCUGUGCUCGGGACAGAAGCAGAUUUCAAAUACUGACUCCGUCCUUUCAACCCACUGCCUCAGGGCUAUCACCCCACCAGUUCCAUAAAACAUCCGGGGUUUGGCAUUAGUAAAAUCCUUAUAGGUGCAUUCUAGGGGUUGCCCAUGACUCUCACCAUGGUUGGAUAGUUGUGUGCCAGUUCCUGAGCCAGUAGUACUCGGAGUUAUUGAUUUGUGACAUGGUAGCUGCUUGGAACAUGACAAUAUCAAAUUGAGGUGGUGGAGGUGUGGUGGUACAGGUGCUUCCCGACCGUUGUUUCGCCUUGGAUUCCUAAAAAUUGUAUGUAAGUUUAAAAUAACCAAUGUGUUUGAAAACCUUGUAAAUCAAUGCAUUUUUAAUACCCCAUGUGAGUUUUAUAACCAUACUAUUGACUCGGAAUGCCUAUACACAACGUUCUUCAGGCGUUGGAAUGUUAUGACGUUUGUCACCCCAAAUGGUGGACUGUAGCUAACAGUCAAGGCGCGGGUUGUCAAGCGCGUAUAGAUCUAUACACAAACACCAUGCUCCCCCUCCAAGGGAUUCUGGUAUAUAAUACAGGACUUGAAAUGUGUACUCGAACGUACGUGAAGUUAAUGUCUCACAAACCGUGGUAUAAAAACAGAUUUACAUGUUAAAAAUGUUCGUUUGUUCUUGUAUAUGAAAGUGAUUUCUUAAAAAUCGUGUUUCUAGUAUGUAAAAGUUAGCAAUAUCCUCGUAAAACUAUACCUAUUAUAGUUUUCUAAAAGUGUGUCUCGUUUGUUUAGAAAUACCUAGAAAAGGAAUCACUUGUUAUGAAAGUAUAGAUUUUUGUAGAGCCUAAGAUAGACAAGUAUACAUAUAAUCUAAGAAAAUGUUUAGUUUAUACAUGCAUUACAACAAUUUAUAUUUCAAAAGAUAGAAUGCUAUUGUAACAUAUUUUAUAUACGAAAGUUCCCUAUAAAGUUUAUAAAUCACAUAUGAUUUGGUUAUNNNNNNNNNNNNNNNNNNNNNNNNNNNNNNNNNNNNNNNNNNNNNNNNNNNNNNNNNNNNNNNNNNNNNNNNNNNNNNNNNNNNNNNNNNNNNNNNNNNNNNNNNNNNNNNNNNNNNNNNNNNNNNNNNNNNNNNNNNNNNNNNNNNNNNNNNNNNNNNNNNNNNNNNNNNNNNNNNNNNNNNNNNNNNNNNNNNNNNNNNNNNNNNNNNNNNNNNNNNNNNNNNNNNNNNNNNNNNNNNNNNNNNNNNNNNNNNNNNNNNNNNNNNNNNNNNNNNNNNNNNNNNNNNNNNNNNNNNNNNNNNNNNNNNNNNNNNNNNNNNNNNNNNNNNNNNNNNNNNNNNNNNNNNNNNNNNNNNNNNNNNNNNNNNNNNNNNNNNNNNNNNNNNNNNNNNNNNNNNNNNNNNNNNNNNNNNNNNNNNNNNNNNNNNNNNNNNNNNNNNNNNNNNNNNNNNNNNNNNNNNNNNNNNNNNNNNNNNNNNNNNNNNNNNNNNNNNNNNNNNNNNNNNNNNNNNNNNNNNNNNNNNNNNNNNNNNNNNNNNNNNNNNNNNNNNNNNNNNNNNNNNNNNNNNNNNNNNNNNNNNNNNNNNNNNNNNNNNNNNNNNNNNNNNNNNNNNNNNNNNNNNNNNNNNNNNNNNNNNNNNNNNNNNNNNNNNNNNNNNNNNNNNNNNNNNNNNNNNNNNNNNNNNNNNNNNNNNNNNNNNNNNNNNNNNNNNNNNNNNNNNNNNNNNNNNNNNNNNNNNNNNNNNNNNNNNNNNNNNNNNNNNNNNNNNNNNNNNNNNNNNNNNNNNNNNNNNNNNNNNNNNNNNNNNNNNNNNNNNNNNNNNNNNNNNNNNNNNNNNNNNNNNNNNNNNNNNNNNNNNNNNNNNNNNNNNNNNNNNNNNNNNNNNNNNNNNNNNNNNNNNNNNNNNNNNNNNNNNNNNNNNNNNNNNNNNNNNNNNNNNNNNNNNNNNNNNNNNNNNNNNNNNNNNNNNNNNNNNNNNNNNNNNNNNNNNNNNNNNNNNNNNNNNNNNNNNNNNNNNNNNNNNNNNNNNNNNNNNNNNNNNNNNNNNNNNNNNNNNNNNNNNNNNNNNNNNNNNNNNNNNNNNNNNNNNNNNNNNNNNNNNNNNNNNNNNNNNNNNNNNNNNNNNNNNNNNNNNNNNNNNNNNNNNNNNNNNNNNNNNNNNNNNNNNNNNNNNNNNNNNNNNNNNNNNNNNNNNNNNNNNNNNNNNNNNNNNNNNNNNNNNNNNNNNNGACAUGCUUUUAGGAGUUUACGGCCAUGGAGCACCUUCUAUGGCCGUAAACUCUCAAAUGAAGAGUUUUGAUGUGUUUAAGGUCCUUAAACUAUUUUUGGUUGGUUCUAUGAUUUAUUCCAAGGCUUUUGGUGGUGUUGGAUGGCUUUCUAACACCUUAGAAGUGAGUUUACACCCUUGUUUAAGGAGUUUACGGCCCAAGCACAAGCCUUGACCGUAAACUCACACAAACCCUUCAAAAUUUAUGUUUAAGGUGUUCUAGGUCCAUUUCCAAUAUUCUAAAAGUCAUAUCUAAGUCUUUUUUGUGUCUUGGAAGGGUUAAAUGGCUUAAAACCCCUUUAAAUAUGUGUUUACGGCCUAGGCACCUUACAGGGCCGUAAACUCAUAUACAAGGCUUUAAAUCAUGGUCCAAGGCAUUCUAAGCUCAUUCCAUAAAGUCAUCUAGCCAUAUUCAAGGUCUAAUUGUGGUUUGGAAGGGUUUUGUUGUUCCAAAAACCCCCCUUUAUAUGAGUUUACGGCCUAGGACUGUUCUAGGGCCAUAAACUCAUGGUAAUGGUGCUAAUCCAUGGUUUAAACUCGAAUUUGAAGGCUAGAGAGGUUGCAUAACCAAUUAGGGAAGGUACCUUGAAGAUUUGAGACCUUAAACUUGAGAUUUGGACCUUUAAUUCUAGUUUGAGGAGAGAGGUUGGAGUGAAAGUUGUAGAAUGGAGCAAAAGCUUCAAAAUGAAGACUUGGAUCACUUUAAAUAGUGUCCAAGUUCGGAACACGGUAGAAUUCUACCCGAUACCGGCGUUAGACGGGGCUUUUGGUCGCACCCGGCCAAUUUGCCGUAACUCGAUAUGGUUGAUUCUAGAAAUGUUUCGAUCAUUAAUAUGAGACGUUAGAAUGAGUUCUAAGGGUAUUAAGUCACUUAUUAAGUCAUAAAAUAAAACCCAUAUUAACGACUUAAUAAAAUGCCGGAAUCAGAAACGAAAUCGGAAAUGGCGAUUGGAUGAUCGGAACGAGUCGCGAGAAGGGUUACAUUUAGAGAUAUGAAUUUCGGGUUGUUACAUAGUGGCACCAGGGAUGGUGUGCAUGAACGUGGUGCACCCUCUACCUGGCCACGAGUUAAGUCUUGUGGCUUGUAUAUUGUUAUGCCUAUCAAGGCAAUCACGUAAAUAUUUCCACAAUCAUCUCCAUUAUAAUAUUUACCAUAUUUAGUUAGUCAAAGUUUACCAUGUAUUGUUAUUGUAGGUGUAAUUGACAACUACCUUUACUCUUGUAAAGGCUUUAUAUUGGCCACUUAUUUUCCUUGUAAUGUGUGAAAAUUCAAUAUUAAAAUCAAUACCUCAAAAUGGUAUCAAGAGCUCUCUUUCUCCUCUGAGAAAUCUCGAUCCCCAUUGCCUUCCUUCUUCUCAAACCUGCAGAAUCAUCACAAUCUUGUCAGAUAAAUCAACUCCUUCUACCACCAUCAUUCAUCUCACGGCCACUACCCACUUCCCUAUCAAACUUAUUGCAUCUAAUUUUCUUGUUUGGCGAAACCAAGUUCGUUCCACCCUCAUUGGCCUUGAUCUCCUCCACUUCAUCGAUGGUUAUUCAAAACCUCCCAGUAAAACCAAUGCUGAGUAAUCUCACUGGUACAGACAAGAUCAGAUCUUGUUCAGUGCCUUACUUGGUAGUUGCACAGAUGUUAUACAACCCUUGCUAUCUUCUGCUGAAACAUCAUAUGAAGCUUGGUUCCGUCUCACCACAAGCUAUGCCAACGCUUCUCGUUCCUGAAUCAUCUCGCUCAAAUCUAAACUUACCACCAAUCCAAAAGGAUCACGCACUGUUACUAAAUAUCUUCACGACAUGCGAUCCAUUGCCGACGAUCUUGCCUUAGCCCACUUAUAGGUGUAAUUGACAGCUACCUUUACUCCUGUAAAUACUCCUGUAAAGGCUUUAUAUUGGCCACUUAUUUUCCCUGUAAUGUGUGAAAAUUCAAUAUUAAAAUCAAUACCUCAAUAAUGCCUUACCAAGUACACAAGUUAAUGACAACCAAUUCAGGUUUUUUAAAAAUUAAGUUGUGUGUGAUCCUCAAAUAACUCAAUAUAAAAAUACAAUAAUACUUUCCUAACCAUCUGUUUCUCAUUCAAAAUACUUUAAUUAAAAACACUUUGCUCCCUUCCCCUUCCCAUCCCUACCAAUCUCCAUCGUCGGUGAUAAACUCCAAUAAAUAUACAUUUACUUUUGAUCCCUGAUCCUAUAAUAAUGAGCAUGGCCAAAAGCAAAAUUGGACAACUUCAAAGACAUACAAACUCUACUUAGUUCACUUCUUUCGAACAUGGUCAAAACCAACAAAAAAUAUAGAAAAAUAUGUAAUCCUUUUAAACAACGUUCAAGUUAGAGCAUAUACCUGAAAGUCUUCGUCUUGAUGAUGUGUUGUUGGGACGUCCAACAAAUAACAUAACAGUGGACGUCGACGCCUCAAAGAGAAACCACAAUCUUGACUCCGUGACAUAUAGCUUAAAUAUUCUUGAUACUUGACGUCCUUAAAAAAAGUUGUGUACCUAAAUUCGUGAAUUUGCAACGAUAGGUGUGGAGGCGGCUGGAAUCGGAGAUAACAGGGUAGCGGUUGCUAGAAUCGACGAUGUUAGGAUUGGGGGUGACCGGACUGGAUGUUAGGGUGGGGGGUGUCAAAUGAAAUUAAGUUAAAAAUAUAGAGAUUGUGGGUGGGGGCGGAAAAUAGGAGAUAAUGGAAAAUCAAUGAAAACAAUUAAGAAAAAUUGAAAAUCCGCGUUUAAUGAGAGAUGUUUUUUUUGUUGUGGAAUCCAUUGCUAAUCCCUCUCCAAUCCAUUUUUAAAUGGCUAGAAUUUACCAAAUAGAAAUCCUGGUUUUUUAUGUUGUUGACCUCUUGGAAGUUUGUCGUUUAUUAGUAGUAAGGAAAGGAGUGAGCAUCAAUGCAUGGAAGGGAGGCCGACAAUUUGUAAAGAGAUGGGUGCAGCGUAUUCACAAGAGAGAAAAUAGACGAGACUGUGUGAUUUGCAAUAUUUUUUACAAAAUGACCGGAUCAAAUGGCGUCUUCUUUUUUUUUUUGCAAUUGUGUUGGCCGGAAAAUAUAACCAAGAAAUUGAUGUUUGUCAAAGUUGACUAUUAGGGAAGUUUCUUGAACAGCAUAUGUUAGUUUAAUCUGUGUUUUUUAAACAACAAAAAUAAAUGUAAUGAUGUUUCUUUAACAUGUAAACGGGCUAGAACUAUUAUCAAACUGUUUCUUGAAUAACAACUCAGUUUCAUUAUAAGUCAUCUAAAAAAAACGGGCAUAGUAGUCCUUAUCCAUACACUAAUCUAUCUGUUGAAAUAUAAUGCAUACCACAAAAACGAACCGCUUAGCUCCAAGAAAUAAUAAUAAAGAAUUGUUGGCGUGCUGAGAUUUUAGCUUUUUAUAUAAACCAAAAAUUGAGAGAAGGGUUAUUGCGAUAGAAGGUGUUUGGAUAAAUAAAAAAGAAAAACAUUGUGUUAGGGAUAUGUGUAUCAUAUAUGAGGAGGGAAUUAGAUUGCAUUGCGUUGAGAAGAAGCUGCUUCCAUGGCACUUCUAUUGUGCCCAUUUCUAAUCAGUUUCCUCAGAGGCGUCUGAUUUUACAUUGGAUCUCUGAGUCUCAGUUCCUAAACGUCAUUUUUAAAUAAUUGAAGGUGCAGGAGUCGAUUGGAGAAGGUUUCCAAAAACGCCAGAGAUGGAGUCGACCUGUUAGGACUACAAAAAUGGGAGACGAGAGAGACGAUAAAUAAAUGAUUGUUUCAAUUGGGUAUUCUGCGAGGCGCAAAUGCGCUCUCUUCUCGCUGAAGCGUGUUCUCAAUUAGGACUAAUUGACUAUGAGGAAUUGGGUUGCAUGAAAAUUUAAGUUGCAAUUGAAUAUUAUAAAAAAAAAUUGGGCGCCUUAAAAAAUUGGGCCCUGUGCACCGGCCCUUCUUGCCCCCCUUCACCAUCGGCCUUGCCAGCCUGCAACAAACAGACAGAUCCUACAGAUCACUAAGCAUAACAACAUCCUAAAUACUAGGAUACCAAUCUAACAGAUCACCACAACACUAUAGCAUACAUGUCAGGAUAUCAAAUCCAAAGGGUCGGCCUUGGUGCCUUAUACCCAUUAGUACAUCGAGGGAAAACUCACCUCACAAUGUCAAACCCCACUGAAAACCUCCGCCUGCUGGCUCACAAAAAUCCCGAACUAACACAAAGAAAAAACAAACAUUCAAUUAACAAUUGGAUUACCAUCCUUGACUAAGGAUCCAUACUUAAUGUAAAUGUCCACUAUGCCCUAUCCCCAAUUGGGCCAAAGCCCAAUUCCUAAUUUUUGAUCCAAAAAGGCCGAAAUUACUUCAGACCCAUAAUCGGCCCAAUUUUCCAAAGUCGAUACGUUCGACGGGACGUCAAACCCUAUAAUGGGGGGUGAAGGUAGGUUGCACCUGAUGCCACAUUGGUUGGGAAGGAGAAAUAAGCAUUCCUUAACAAUGAUGUGGAUACCUUCCCUAACACAACGCGUUUUAAAGAUGUGAGGGCAUCAGAUCUCAUAAUAACUUUGCAGGUAAGCGUGCUCAAGCGAGAGCAAUCAAGGGAUGGGUGACCCUAUGGGAAGUUUUUGCGCUAGGAGCCCAAAACGAACAAUAUUGUGAUACGUGUCAGAGAGGGAUGUUACAUAAAGGCUAUUAGCUAAUUGACUUUAAGACUUGAACCACUCUUCAACUUCAUUAAACACGUUCACCCAAUUCAACCAAUUCUAGUACAACUGAAUUGAUUAUCAUCCCAAGUUACACUUUUGGCCCUUAAACUUUGAGCGACUUGUCUUUCAUGGCUCUACAAAACCCAACUUUAGCAAGCAAAAUCAUACUUCAUUCCCUUAAAAUAAAAAAAUAAAAAUAAAAUAAAAUAAAAUAAAAUAAAAACCUUAAGUGACCUUUUAAAACAAAUGCAAUAAAGUUUUUGGGCUAAUAUGACAUUUUCUCAUUUUUUUAACUAACUAAAUAAUAAUUAAGUUUAAUAAUUUAAUAUAUAAACUUAAAAUUAAAAUGAAAAUAAUAUGAGAAUUACUUAAAUAAAAUUAAAGCUUACAAAAAAGACAUUAUUCAAACAUAAAAUUACUAUUCGUCCUCAACGACUUUGUUUUGGUAUAAAUUGUAACGCCCGUGUUUCUAGGCUAGGCAUUAAUAUUGACAUAAUAGUCUAGGUUAACCUUUGUAACUCAUUUAGAAGAAAUGAAAAUGAAUUAUGUGAAUAUUAUGUGUUUUAUGCUUAAUUAUUAGGGUUUAAUUAAUUAAGAAUAAAAAUGUGCGUCAAAAAUAAAUAUUAGAUAAAGCCGAUAUCUAUUAAGAAAGUUGUAGUGGUCGUGACAAGGAUUACGGAUAUAUAAUGAAUGCCGAAAUCCGAGUUAUAGCGAAGAAGUUAUGACCAGUCGAAGUUUCGCGACAAAACCGCCACGGUGCCGAAUGUCGUAAAAAGUGAGUUUUUGAUAAACUACUUUUUAGCCUUAGUGAUCUAAACAAAAGUUGCAGUGUUCGUUAAACCGAGAGUAGGUAUAAAAAGAACGCCCAAAUCUGACUUCGUAUGAGAAAGUUAUGAUUUUUCGAAAUUUCAGCUUAGUUGUAGACAGCUAAAAACUCGAAUUUUAGAUCAAGUGAUUUUUAGCCGACACGACCUAAACGAGAAUCGAAGGUCUUGUCAAUAGUAGCACAACGGUAAAAAGACAGACGAAAACGGACGUCGGAUGAAGAAGUUAUGAAUUUUUAACGGAUUUCCUGUCCCGGUCUGUUGAAAAUAAUAAUAUAAAAAUUAAAGUCAAAAUUAGCCGACGAGGUCUAAACGAAAGUUGUAGAGCGUAAUUUUACCUACGCGUGCAUAUAAAGAACGUUAAAAACAUAGCUCAUAUGCGAAAGUUGUGGAUGUUAUAAGUUUUGGCGCGAAAAUCGAGAAAUGUUGUCAAAACCGAGAAAUUUCGCAUACGUGGACUUCGGCCACGUCACCCUCGCUUAAAUCAUGGCACAUGUCCGAAAUUUUGCUGAGUCAUCCGAACCGGAGAGCCAUCUGAAGUUGUCCACUAAAGAUCUGACGCGUGUCCCUUAUGGCGUGUCCGAGUCUCGCAGGGGGUGCCACGUCCGAAGCCUUAGACUAGAUCUCGGUCCAAUCAAACGCCGAUACCGAGCCCCUCGCAUGCGCAGCCCACGUGCGAGCCACCUGCGCACCUUAGCCCUGCUGUUGUCGCGUGUCCCCGCUGCUGACUCCUCUCUUCUAAGCCGACUUCGGACCAUCUUUCACCCCUUUUUCAAUACUUCCUUCAUAUUAACAUCCCCCAAAGCCCCGAUAUCGAUUAUAACACCCGGAAUACACCACGAAGUGCCCGAGAAGUCCGGAAAAUUUAUCUUUUCGGUUUCGAAGCCCGACCUUCGCAGAGCCCGGUUUCUCAAUAAAACUCCCGGUUUUAUUAAAAACGAUCGCUUUAGGCAACGAAGUGCUGCCCGAUGAUCGUUAAAUCAAGUGAGUGUGUAGUUACUUUCACUUUACACAUAGAUAUGAAGUAUUUUAUAUAAAUAUAUGCUGUGUGAAUAUAUAUUGUUUGUUUAUUUGAGAUGAAUAUUGAAGGAAUGAUUUAUACAUGUUUUUAAAUAAUUUAAAUUGUAUAUGUAUUUUAUCUACCAAAAUGUUGGGUAAAACAUGGGUAGAUGUAAUAGUGGGUGUGUGAUGGAAGGUGGGUUGGACACUGUUGAUAAAUAAGAGCUAUGAACUCCCAUGGGAAAUACUGUCGAUUACCUACUNNNNNNNNNNNNNNNNNNNNNNNNNNNNNNNNNNNNNNNNNNNNNNNNNNNNNGAAAUAUUGUCGAUAAAUAAGAGCUAUGGAUUUAACACAUGGAAAACCCAUUGACAUGUAUUGCGAGGGGGGGGAUUCCCGUGGGAAAUACUGUCGAUAAAAUAAGUGCUAUGGACUUAAAUUGUAGAGGAAAGCAAUUUUGUCACCCCGAUGUUUGUCAUAUUUAACAUAAAUUGUAGAGGAAAGCAAUUUUGUCACCUUAUUGGUUGUAUUAUGUUAGGAUGUCUUGUUUGACAUAAAUUGUUGAGGAAAGCAAUGUUGUCACCCCUAGUGAUAAUCCUUAGGCUAGGUCCCUUGUGAUAGUCGUUUUAGGGACGUAAAGUGAGGAUAAUGGGAAUGGGUAAUUAGGGUUAUUUUGGUUGAUGAAAUUAAUAGCUUUAUUGUUGAUUGAGAACUUAAUAAGUUUAUCAUUUAUUGUGGGUUGAAAAUCCUAUAUGCUCACCAGGCUCCCAAGCCUGACCCACUCAGCUUUUUAUAUUACAGGCAGUGGACCCCGAGCAUAGUCGGAUGAUGAUGAGUGAUAUUUGGAUUAUAGGCGAGUAGUUGUAAAUAACUGUUGUAAGGCUUAUAAUGUCUUAUUUAUGCUUUUGAUCUGUAUUGGAACAUGACAUCCCGAGGUUUGAUAUGAAAUGAAAAUAUACAUUUCUUGAAGAAAGGUUUUGAUAAACUUUUAUAAUGUUUUGUUUUGAGAAUAAAUUCCGCAACAUCUUUUUAAAGGAUUACUCUGAUUUUAUUUUAAAAAGCAUAAAAUAAAUCGGUCUUUUUUGGCUGAGAAAUUUGAGGAUGUCACAUAAAUGUUCCAAUAAGUCUUGUCCAAAAAAAUGGCAUGUUUCAAUAGAUUGUAUUUUGAGAACUCCUGCCAUGUAUUCAUCAUCUGUACAUGGAAAUGCACAUGGAAAUGAAUUGUUGAGGACGAUUAACCGCAUCAACCUUAAAUCAUACAUGCAAAUAGCACGUCCUACGAACGUGGUGCACCCUCUACCUCGCCACGGGUUAAGUCUUGUGGCUUAUAUACCGUUAUGCCUUACCAAGUACAAGUUAAUGACAACGGUUGAGGUUUUUUAAAAAUUAAGUUGUGUGUUAUGAUCCUCAAAUAACUCAAUAUAAAAAUACAAUAAUACAUUCCUAACCACCUGUUUCUCUUUCAAAUUACUUUAAUUAAAAACACUUUGCCCCCUUCCCUUCCCCUUCCCCUUCCCAUCCCUACCAAUAUCCACCACCGGUGAUAGACUCCAAUCAACACACAUUUACUUUGGAUCCCUGGUCCUAUAAUAUUGAGCAUGGUUCAAAACCAAAAUUGGAUAACCUCAAAGACAUACAAACUCUACUUAGUUCACCUCUUUCGAACAUUGUCAAAAUCAACAAAAAAAAUAGAAAAAUAUGUAAUCCUUUUAAACAACGUUCAAGUUAGAGCAUCUGACAGAUAAGUAGAUAACUGAAAGUCUUGAUGAUGGGUUGUUGGGAUGGCCAACAAAUAACAUAAAACUGGAGGUUGACGCCUCAAAGAGAAACCACAAUCUUGACGUCGUGAAAUAUAGCUUAAAUAUUCUUGAUACUUGACGUCGUUGAACAAAAGUUGUGUACCCAAAUACAUGAAUUUGCAACGAUAGGUGUGGACGGCUAGAAUCGUAGAUCACAGGGUAGCGGUGCAUGGCCAGAAUUGACGAUGUUAGGAUUGGGGGUGAUUGGACUUGAUGUUAGGGUGGGGGUGUCAAAUGAAAUUUAAGUUAAGAAUAUAUAGAUUCGGGGUGGUGGCGAAAAAUAGGAGAUAAGUGAAAAUCAAUGAAAACAAUAAAAAAAAUUGAUAAUCCGCAUUUAGCGAGGGAUGUUUUUUUGUUUCUGGAUCCAUCACUAAUCCCUCUCCAAUCCAUUUAUAAAUGGCUAGAAUUUACGGAAUAGAAAUCCUGGUUUGGAAGUUCAUCAUUGAUUAGCUUGGGAUAACUUACAUUGCUAAUUUUGUCAUUGACACCUCUCUUUCUAUUAGUGGGGAAAGGUGUGAGCAUCAAUGGGAGGGAGGCCGAUAAUUUGUAAAGAGAUGGGUGCGGCGUAUUCACAAAAGAGAAGAAUGAAGAGACCGUGUGAUUUGCAAUAUGUGCAAAUUUUUUACAAAAUGACCGGAUCAAAUGGUGUUUUCUUUUUUCUUUGGAAUUGUGUUGGCAAGAGAAUAUAACCACGAAAUUGAUGUUUGUCUAAGUUGACUAUUAGGGCAGUUUCUUGAACAACAUAUGUUAGUUUAACCGUGUUUUUCAAACAACAAAAAUGAAUGUAAUGAUGUUUUUUGAACUUGUAAACCGCUGGGUAGCUACCUGAUCAAAAAUUUUCUUGAACAACAACUCAGUUUCAUUGUAAGUCAUCUUAAAAUAUAUAUAUAUAUAUAUAUANAUUCUCAUGGCAAGGUUCAAAAUGUUAAAUACCUUGAAAUCGAGAUGUUGUAUAUAUAUAUAUAUAUAUAUAGAAACAAAAAACUAAAUACGUAAACGGGCAUAGUAGUCCUUAUCCAUACAAUAAUCUAUCUAUUGUAGUAUAAUACAUACCACAGAAACGAAACGCUUAACUCCAAGAAAUAAUAAUGAUAGAAUUGUUGUGUGCUGAGAUUUCAGCUUUUUAUAUAAACCAUUCCAUAUUAUUGGGCAUCAAAAUCUCUUGGUAAGGGAAAAUGUUUUCUUUCUUACAGAAUUCCCCCCUUUUCUACUAUUCAUGCAUCGUUUUAAUAAUUCUCAUCAGUUUCAAAUGGAUUUCAACUCUUUCCAAAACCAACAAAAAUUUACCACCAUCUCCACCAAGGCUUCCGAUCAUCGGAAACCUCCACCAACUAGGGUUGAGCCCCCACCGCUCACUUGAGGCCCUGUCCAAAAAACAUGGUCCACUCAUGUUGAUGCACCUUGGCAACGUGCCCAUGCUUGUUGCCUCUUCACCUGAUGCAGCCAAAGAGAUCUUGAAAACCCAUGAUUUGAAAUUUGCAAGCCGACCCAAGUUAAGAAUUGCCGACAUACUUUUGUAUGGCUCCAAGGACAUAACAUUUUCUCCUUAUGGAGAGUAUUGGAGGCAACUGAAGAGCAUCGCUGUAGUCCAUCUUCUAAAUAAUACACGAGUCCAGUCAUUUCAACAAGUGAGGGAAAAAGAGGUGGCUCUUAUGAUUGACAAGAUCAAAAACAGUGAUGGUUCUUUAGUUGAUCUUAAUGAGCUGUUUUUUUGGCUUACGAAUAACAUUUUCUGCAUGGCGAGUCUAGGUAGGAAAUAUGGUGGGUCAACGUUUGCAGACAUAAUGGACAGGUUUAUGCAUCUGCUCAGUGGCUUCAAUGUUGGUGAUUAUAUUCCAUGGUUGGCUUGGAUAGACCGAUUGAGUGGUUUAGAGGAGAAAGCACAUAAAGUUGCUAAAGAAUUUGAUGACUUUUUUGAAUGUGUUGUUGAAGAACAUGUAAAUAAGAGAACAGAAGUGGAUGCUCAAGGUAGUGAAGAUCAAGAUCUUGUUGACACCUUAUUGGAUGUACAAAGAGAUAACGCAACUGGCUUUACCUUUCAUAGAGAUGUCAUCAAAGCCCUCAUUUUGGUAAGAGUUUUAUUUUCAUCUUUUAAUUUUGAAUUAAAGAGUUGGCAUAUGUCCCCCGUGAAGUGGGGAUAAGAAUUUUCUAGUUAAAAUUAAGGUGAAGCCGGGAUAUGAAUUUUCUAUUUAGAAUUAAAAGACCGAAGUAAAGGAAAAUAAGGUUUAAAUUAGAACAGCACUAUAGUUAGCUACAAAACCACUCAUGUUGUGAAAAUUUAGAACUACUCAACUAAACUACAAAAUUCAUAGAAACUACCAUGUACUAAACACAAGUUAUAUUUGAAAGUAUAGUAAAUUUCAAAAAAUCGUUAAUGUGGUUUAAUUAGUAUAAUAUGUAGAUUUUGUUUCUAUUUGGAUUUUUCAUUCGAAUAGUCUCAUUGUCAUUAUUUUGUUAUGAUUCGUCUAUACAAGACAACUAGAACUAUCAUAACAAUUAUGAGAGAUGUCUAAGUGAUUCAAAUGAGGUUGCAUGCCUUAUAUAUGUUAGACAUCAUGAUUUAUUUAUUUAUUUAUUUUAUUUUUUAUUUUUUUUUACUGUUUUAUGAUUAGUUUAUUAUAAUAAAUGUCAUUAAAAUAUUUGGGUUACCACCCCACUUCGACGAUUUCAACAGAGGGAAGGGAUUGUUAGGAUUAAUGAUUUUAAUAAACACGCACACGAUAAUGAAGAUGCUAAAGGAACAAUAAGAUUUAAUAAGACACCCAAGAGUACUAGUAAUGGAACACCAUUUAAAAUUUAUGUUUAUUGUAGGAUGUAUUUGUUGCUGGAACAGAUACUACAUUCGUAAGUUUGGUAUGGUCAAUCAGUGAGCUAAUAAGACACCCAAGCAUAAUGGAAAAAGUACAACAAGAAGUAACAGAAAUAGCACAAGGAAGAUCCAUGAUUUUGGAAAAGGAUUUAGAGAAAAUGAAUUAUCUUAAAGCCAUCAUCAAGGAGACCUUACGUUUGCAUACUCCAGUUCCACUACUUGUUCCUCGAGAAUCAACACAAGAUGUGAAAGUAAUGGGUUACGACAUUCCAGCUGGCACACAAGCGAUUGUGAAUGCUUGGGCGAUAGGAAGAGAUCCUACCUUAUGGGAAGACCCAGAGGAAUUUAGGCCUGAAAGGUUCUUCAACUCUUCCACAGAUUACAAAGGGCUUCACUUUGAGUUUCUUCCAUUUGGUGGUGGACGAAGAGGGUGCCCUGGGAUUCAAUUCGCUAUAGUCAUCAUUGAAUU
Molecule: long non-coding RNA, 58584 nt
Filed under: Lactuca sativa (garden lettuce)
Lineage: Eukaryota; Viridiplantae; Streptophyta; Magnoliopsida; Asterales; Asteraceae
Description: long non-coding RNA (LSAT_LNC000347)
Source: RNAcentral